Molecule: long non-coding RNA, 67455 nt
Filed under: Medicago truncatula (barrel medic)
Lineage: Eukaryota; Viridiplantae; Streptophyta; Magnoliopsida; Fabales; Fabaceae
Description: long non-coding RNA (MTRU_LNC000688)
Source: RNAcentral
CUUAUGCCUUCACACCUGUCAGAAUAUUGAGCACUGAAUUUUAAUUUACCAAUUUCCCUACCAUCCAGAUCCGACUUAUGUUCUAAGUUAUACACAGGUAAGAUCCCACACCCCUUGAUCCCCUCUGUUGACCACCACAAUUCUUCAUUGAGAUCUUGAUGCAUGAAUUGAAAUGAUAGGUUGCAAUCAUUACUUCCAAGUUUUUGUCUGUUGUAAGGAUGCCAACAUAUCAAAACGUGAUCUGAAAUUAAUGCCCCAAUAUAAGCGUCAUGAAUAACAAAACACCUGUCAACUUCUUUGCCGUGUUCAAAGAUAACACAAUUCAGGGGGAGAUUGUGAACAUGGAAGCACUUCGAAACAAUGGUGCAGAAUAUGAAACCAGACAGGUUAGAUUUUGGAAUAGGAGGAAUGGUUAUUGAAGCCUUUGUUGUUUGAAAAUCAAACUUGCGAGGAAUUUGUGCUGACAAAGUAAUUGUUGACAUAUCUUUGGAAUUUUCCAAAGAAGAAAUGGUGGAUUCAAACCUUUCAGGAACAGUUACAGGGCAUUUUCGGACUAUCCUUAUAUCAGAAAACUCACCUCCUAGCAACCUCACAUUGUUGACAAUGCUUAGAAGUUUGUCAGCAUACUCAUUGAUUGUUUCUGACUCCUUCAUCCGCUGCAUCUCAAACUCCCUGAUCAAAUUCAGCACUUGCAUCCCUUUGACUUUCUCAUUUCCUUCAUACUCUUGUUUGAGAAAAUCCCAAAUUGCUUUUGCUGACUUCAGAGCCAUGAUUCUUGUGAAAAUUGCUUCAGAAACAGCAGAAAAUAGAUAAGACUUUGCCUUUGAUUUUCGCUGCUUUCUCUCCUUAUGGUUUCUGAUUUGUGCAAGCGUUGGAUUGUCUGGUAAUGGCUCAACCUCGUAAUCAUCCUCAACAGCCUCCCAAAGAUCAUGAGUAUCAAGAUAAGCCUCCAUUCUGGUUGGCCAUAGGUGAUAAUUCUCACCCUCAAAGAUUGGCAAUUUUAUGGCUGAGUUAUCAGAGUGCAUUUUCAACUCUUUGGUAAGUGUUUGGGUGUUUAGUGGAACUCUCAACCUCACCAGGUCCCUUAAGAACAAGAAUGCUCUUGAUACCACUGUUGGAAUUUAGAAAAGAAAAUUAAGCAGACUUAUGAGUUCUGAAAACUGAAACACACACAUUUCAUUCCUUCUAACAACCUUUAAAUACAAGAAACUCAUAAUCAGAAAUAAACAAAAACAAAAACUGCCUAUAAAUUUGUACCAGAACAACAUAAAUUUGUAACCUCCCAUAAUUCCUAUAAUUAAAAUCAUAACAGUCAUAACCAUAGGAAUACUGCAAUAAACUCUAAUAAUAGGUUCUGAUCCAUAUUCUCAACAAGUUUUAUGCUACUCGUAUGAAAUAUACAAGUCAUGACAUGUAGAAAUCUGGAUAGGUCGUUUUUCUUACCUAUAAUUUUGAGAGUCCCAACCAACUAAAUUAGCUGCCUCAGUGAGAGCGGCUUUCCAUUUAUGCAACUUGUCAUUAUUGUGCUUCAAAUCUCGCUUAUGUUUUGCAAAUGCUUGCUUGUAACUCCCGGUCUGCUUCCUCACAUGUGAUGGAAUGUUGUAAAAAACAGGUAUCACGGUCAAUUCCAUAUAUUGCUUGCAUUCUAGAAUCUUUUUGAGCUCAUUUAAGCACCAUUUUGAAGAAGCAUAGUUUUCUGAGAAGAUGACAAUAGAUGCAUGUGACUCCUCAAUGGCUUUGAUGAGUGCUGGCGAGAUCUCAUCUCCUUUUUGAAGCUCAUUGUUGUCUAUAAAGGUUUCAACUUUCUUUCGGCUCAGAGCAUCAUAAAGAUGGCAUGUGAAGUUUCUGCGGGUAUCCUCACCUCGAAAGCUAAGAAAAACGUCAUAUUUUUUCACAGAUUCCACAGAAGAAGAAAACACUGUUUGUUUGCUUCCUAGCCAUUAAGAAUUCCAAGUGCUGCGCUAAUCACAAUGCUACACUCAAACAUAAAAAAUAUUUGAUGUUUAAAUGUGCUUGUGCUCGGUUACUUUUUGUACUGGCAAUCGUAAUAGUGUUACAUACUGAGAUUCAUAAAUCAGAUUGACAUCAGAUCAGUUAGUUCAAAGUUCCCAUAUUGCUCAUAUAUCAACCUAGAUAAUGUGUAUCUUUUGACCUAGAAAAGCUAUACAAUAUGGCAAUUCCACGGGCCAGAUUCAUUAUUACUUUACAUUCUUGUGCUAUUUAUGUCUAGUUUUAUGUGUGGACUCCCAUGAUGUUUAACCUUGUUGCUUGAAUUGAAUUCUAGGUUUUAUCGGGUUUGCUCUUCAUUAGCCUUUUAAUGUCUCUUCGUUUACUGAGUUUUUUCGUGUUCAAAUCGUAAGUUAUCGGCCAAUUUAGUCAAAAUUUAAUCUCUGUUAAACAUUGAGUAAGUAAUUAACAAAUAUGAAGACUAACAUAUAGCAUUCAUUCUUCAGAACCAAUUUGAUAUUUGUUACUCAAUUUGAAAGACUAAUUUGAAAUAUUUGUCAACAAAAGGUAUGGUCAGUCAAAACUAAUUUUAUCAAUUUAUUGAUUUGAAAAUCUAUGAUCAAUUUGACAAUGAUCUAUGUAAUUAGAGAAACUAGUAGUUAAAUUAAAAUUGAGGGAAAAAAGAUCAUACCAAAGUCAGAAUCCAGCAAUAGUUGAGGAGGAAAAGAGUGUAGAGUGACAGUCACAAUCCCUAAAGGGCUUAGUUUAUGUUGGAAGGAAUGAUGUGCACAACAGUUCAUAAUGCUUUGGUCAUGAUUUUAUAAUGGAUUGAUCAAAAUUAAAAUAUAAAAUAAAAAUAACAAAUUGUUUUUUACUCCUUCAUAGAAGUUUCGUUUCCUAUGGUGGUAAUAUAAUACAAUAACAAUAUUGACUUGGGUUCCAAUCUAGUUGCUAUGAAAGAUGUCAUGACAUUUUUUUUUUUUUGAGAGGGAAAUAUGUCAUGACAUUAUUAUUAGUAUUAGUAUUUUUAUGGAAAAAAUAUUAAGGGGAUUCCAUGCCUCAUUGGGGUCAAGAAAAAACUCAAGGCCUACAAUACAAGAGGAUAUUUUUUCUCAAAAAAAAAAAGAGAUAUUUCAUCAAAAAAAAUAUACAAGAGGAUAUUUAGGAAAACAAUGAUGUACACAUAUAGUGUGAAUCUAGUUUCCUAUGUUAAACGAAAAUAAUUGGUGCAUAAGGUUCCAUUGCCUCUUUCUAUAGUGUGAAUCUAAUCUCCUAAGCUUUCAUCACCAUAACUUGACCACAAGGUUUAUUACUUUUGAAGAACCUGCAACAAAUUUGAAAAACUAUAGAAUUCAGCUCCAUGGAUAUAUCUUGUAUAAACCAUAGACAAAACCAUAGAUUUCAGCUUAUUAAGCCAAAACCCAAUAAGACUAGUAAAAGAGACAAAAUCAAAACCAGAAAUCCUCCUAAGCCUAUAACCAGAAAAUGAUACUUUUGAUAUGAGCCCAGAUCAGACCCUGCUACUAACUAUCAAUAAACAGGCAACAACGUAGACAAACUUGCACUGAUAUCAAUAACCUCAGACCAACAUACAAUAGCAAAAAAAAAUAUUAUUGAACCAAAAAAUCAAAACAAUACUCAAAAUUGAGCAACGAAACAGAAUAGAACACUCCAAAACCUAAGAAUCCUUCAACCAUCAUAAUAACAAACAAAAACACAUCCCAGAUAUUACCUAGUCUGAUAUCAAUAACCUCAGAGUACUAUUCAGUUCCAUAUUGCAUUGUAUAUUUAAUUCCAUAAUACAUAUUCAAUUCCUUAAUCAUGCACAUAGAUCAUAAAGUUGAAUUACCUUUUGUUUUCCCUAUUGAACCGCCACGCAAAAGUUUCACUUCUCUGAAUUAAUUUAAAGUUCUACCAUAAUUGAAUCCAUGUCAAAUUUGAGUUCCUGCGUAAAACACUGUAACGUUGAAGUUACAUAUUAAAGUUCUACCAUAUUGCCAUUCUUUUUUACUGCUUCAUCCUACAAAGCAGAGAUGUGAAUGUUUGUUUAAUGAUAUGAAAGAUAUUUGAGUUCAAAGAUGGAAUUAGCACCAAAAACACACAUGAACGUGAAAUCUUUUCAAAUGGGAUUCGUUCUGCAAAUCCUCUAAAUUCCUGUCAAUCAAAAUAUUCACAACCAGCACAGGUGAAAAAUGAGAACAGAAGUUCCACAAAUGCAGGUUAAGGGCCUCUUUGGUUGUAUUCUUAAUUUUUCGUCUAUUCAAAUGGAAACAAACUUCUGAAAAGAAUUGAAUUCUAGAAACAUGAGAAUUUUAAAAACAAUUCUUCAAGUGAAGGAUUUAAAUCUUUCAAUAAAAUAAACUAAACCAGCAUGGAAGGUAUGAUUGUAAAAUGGAAAUUAUACAGUGCUACAAUCAAAGUAAUUAACGGCUACUAACUAGCAUAACCUCUACGAAUUAGAGAGCUUCUGCCAUGUUUAAAGAUACAAACAUACAAUUACACAUUGUGAUAAUAAGAAGGUUGUUCCUAACCAUCUUCAGUUUCAUUGUUAUAGCUUCUGCCUUCACCUCUAAUUGCUAUAGACACAUCAGAGUCUUGAGCAAUGGAUUUUAAUUUACCAAUUUAAUUACUAAUGCUACUACCCCAAUAUUCCCAUACAGGUAAGACCCCACACCCCUUUAUCCCCUCCUUUGACCACCACAAUUCUUCAUUGGGAUCUUGAUGUAUGAAUUGAAAUGAUAAGUUGUAAAUAUCAUUACUUCCAUUUUCUUGUCUGUUGUAACCAUGCCAGCAUAUCAAUACAUGAUCUGAAAUUAAUGUCCCGAGAUAAUUGUGACUAAUACGAGAUCUGUCGACUUCUUUUCCGCAUUCCAAGAUGAUACAAUGAAGGGCAUGAUGGUUAAUAGUGAAGUCAGAUUUUGGAAUAGGAAGAAUAGUUAUUGAAGCCUCAGUUGUCUGAAAAUCAAAAUAUAAUGGAACUUGUGCUCCGGGCAGGAAAGAGAAAGCAUCGAUAACACCUUCAUCUUCAAUAGAACGGUCUUCAAUGAACUUUUGUGACCUGUUACUAAGCAAUGACCAUUGUAUGAAGUCUGUGUCCAGAUAAGUGCAAUUAACAGCUUUUAAAUAUAACAGGGAUAAUAGAAGCUCUGUCAGAGACACAAGUUUCCUGCAAUCGUCUAAUUCAAGCCAUUCUAGCAUUAUAUGGUUUUGUAUGUUCUCAGGGAGACAUUCUAAGUUGCAACACUCAUUCAAUUUUAGCCGUUUUAAAGAUCGUAUACCAUCAAGUAUGGACCAUAGACUUAAUGCAUUGAUUUCUGUGCACCCUGAAAGGUCUAGCUGUGUAACAGACCCCAGUCCAUGAUCAUCUGAUAACUUAUUCCCAACAAUGUUAAGCUUGUUACACUUAGUUAUGGAAAGAGAAGUAAGUUUGGUAUUACGCCAAAUCGAUGAAGACAACUCACGUAUAGCAGUGCCACGUAAGAAUAACUCUGUAAUUUCCUCCAAUGUAACCGAAAAUUCUGUGAGAGAUGAACAACCAUCCAGUAAGAGUUCACGAAGAGAUUUUGAAUGAAUGUUCGUUUUAAGGCUUUCAAUAGUAAUGCAACCUCCUAAAUCUAGAAAUGUAAGUCGAGGGAGAGAAAAGAUGGAUGGAUGGAGCUGACGCAAGCUUUCACAUUGACAGAGAGAUGCUCUUCCAAGAUUUGUAGCCCUAGAUAAGUCGGGGAUCUCAAUCAGAUCUUUGGAGUAAUUAAGGCAGAUUGUGAUUAGAUUUUACAAGAUUCUGUAACAAGAAAUAAACAUGCAUAAGUGUUGAUUAAAAGAGAAACAAAACCUAGUUAAGAAUAAAUAGAGGCAUGUCAUCCUAGCUCUGCUACAAUUUUGUGAAUAGCACGAGACUCCUCUUGUACCUUUAUAAAGUUAACAAGUAUAUCCAAACAUAUUUGUACCUGAACUCCAUCUCAGAGAUUUUUAAGCUUGCUAUGAGUCAUGCUAAGCUCUACAAGCAUUUCAGCACAAAAGUUUGAUGGAAAAGACUAAAGACAAUAUCCCUCCCAUUGAAGGUACCUCAAUUUAUCAGAAAGCCACUCGAGACCAUCAGGAAAAUGUACAUUGCAUAUGCUCCCGUUGGAUAUAUUAUGAAUCUUAAGAUAUCUUAAGUUUGCCAUCCUUCUAAAGGAAUCAGACUUCAAGUAUAGAUCCCCAACUUCCGUAGUAUCGAAUAUUAUACCUUCCACAACUUCAGUUCCCUGACAACAAAAAUUAGAUUAAUAAUUAGGAAAGGCUGUCAUAUGUACUUUCAUUGUUAUAUUUUAUAAUUACAUACAUAUAUUUUCAUAUAUAUAUAUAAGUGAUUGCAUCCUCUGCUUACCUUGUUUUCUUUUAAUAUAUCAGAUAUUUCUUUAGCUCUCCACAACCGACUUCGUUUUCCAGGGUUUAUAGAUUCUUGAUUAACAAUCUCCCGUCCCAUUUCUUGUAACAAAUCAUGCAUAUGUAAACUAUCAACUUCAAACUUGGCAUACGAGUGCCAAUUUGGUUUUACUUGUAUGAGAGCUUUAUCUAAAAGGACUUCUAUCCCACUUUCUGCAAAGAACUUACAAGCUUCCAACAAAUCUAUUAUAAAUAUUUUAUGCUCUCCUCUCAAAAAGCAUGCAAUAUCUAAAAAUAUGGCCUUUUAAAAAAAAUCUAAGUCAUCAUAACUGAAUUUUAACACGGUAUAAAUUUUCCUAUUUGGAAUCUUUUCGAGCUUUUUCAAUUCAUUUUCCCAUGCCUCUUUGCCUCUUGAGCGGAGAUUUUCCCCUAAAACUUUUAAAGCCAGAGGAUUGCCUUUGCAAUAGGCAAUUACACUUUCUGAUAGAUCUUCACAUCCAAUUUUAGACUGUUUUUCUCCGAAGGCAUUCAAACUGAGUAGCUGAAGAGAAUCAUGGUUGUUCAAUUCCUUGACCUCAUAUAUCUCACAUUUACUGAACUGACUAAAUAUGUGCUUAUCUCUAGUUGUCAUAAUGACCCUACUACCCGGUCCCAGCCCAUCAAUUUUUAGGAUAAGAUCUUCUAUUUGCUCUAAGGUUUCUCUGCCAUCCAACACAAUUAAAACUUUUUUACGUGAAAUCCUUCUCUUGGAGAAAGUGGCUUCUAUGUAGGAUGCAUCAGGAUGAAUAUUUUCCUCCUCUAACAAUGAGGAUAAAAGUUUAUUGUAUACAACAUUAUGUCCAUACCUGUUUGAUUCAUCAAUUACAUUGAGAAAGCAACAACCUUCAAAUUGAGAAUAAAUUAUAGCAUAUGAAGCCCUAGCAAGAGUGGUCUUUCCUAUGCCACCCAUGCCCCAUAUUCCAAGGACUCUAACAUCAUUUGAGCCAAUUUUCAGUAUUGACUCAAUUUGGUCAUAAUUUUUCUCAACUCCAACAAGCCCCUUAAUUUCACAUGGGUAUCUAAGAUUCAGUUUCCGCAAAACAUUUUUAACAAUGUCCUUAAUGAAGUCCGAUUCGAUCCUAGAAUAUGAACGAGGGGAAGAAGAUUUUACAAGUCUAACAAAUACAAUAGUAGAAAAGUACAUCUAUAUGAUUAGUAUACAAAAUUUAUAGUCAAUAAGGUGACAGUGGCUUAGUAGAGCAAGAAACAAACAAAAAUUAGAUUUGGGGAAACAAAAUACCAAAGACACAAGGUAAUAAAUGUAUAUUUUCUAUGACUUUGGUAGUUUUCAGAAGGUUGUGUCAACUAUUACUUUGGCCUGUUUAUUUUCAAAAAUUAUUUUUAGUGUUUGUUUUCUAAAAUUUAUGUUCAUUUCCAAUUAAGAAUAUGGAGAUGAAAGACUCAUGUAGUAAAUAGCUGUGCUAUAUUAGAAAACAAAACAUGUAAAUGAUAUGAAAUAGUUUAUUUAUUUUACUUCGAAUUUUUUCGUUUUGUUUACCUGUAAUUUUGAGAGUCCCAACCAACUAAACUAGCUGCCUCAGUGAGUGCAUCUUUCCAUUCCUGUAACUUGUCAUUAUUGCUCUUCAAAUCUCGCUUAUGUUUUGCGAAGGCUUGCUUGUAACUCCCAGUCUGCUUCCUCACAUGUGAUGGAUCUAUGUUGUAAAAAACAGGUAUCACAAUCUGUACCAUAUAUUUCUUGCAUUCAAGAAUCUUUUUGAGCUCAUUCAAGCACCAUUUUGAGGAAGCAUAGUUUUCUGAGAAGAUGACAAUAGACACAUGUGACUCCUCAAUGGCUCUGAUGAGUGCUGGCGAUAUCUUAUCUCCUUUUUGAAGCUCAUUGUUGUCUAUAAAGGUUUCAACUUUCUUUCGGCUCCGAGCAUCAUAAAGAUGGCAUGUGAAGUUUCUGCGGGUAUCCUCACCUCGAAAGCUAAGAAAAACGUCAUAUUUUUUCACAGAUGCCACAGAAGAAGAAAAAACACUGUUUGUUUGCUUCCUAGCCAUUAUGAAUUCCAAGCGCUGCGCUAAUCACAAUGCUACACUCAAACAUAAAAAAUAUUUGAUGUUUAAAUUUGUUCUCGGUUACUUUUUGUACUGGCACUCGUGAUAGUGUUACAUAUUGAGAUUUAUAAAUCAGAUUGACAUCAGAUCAGGCAGUUCAAAGUCCACAUAUUGCUCAUAUAUCGACCUAGGUAAUGUGUAUUUUUUGAUCUAGGAAAGCNACAAUUGUAAAUCCCGCCUUAUUUGCUUGACGACGCACCCACUCAAGCAAUUCAUCUCUAUCUUUCGACAUAACGUCGUCUGACAAAAAAACUAGCCGUGUCGACCUCGUGGGCUUGAAGUGGGAGGACACCGGAGCCGCCAACAUACUUUGAAGCUUCAACAUGGAAGGAAGCUCCAUCAAUGUUUGAUUUCGCUUCACUUUAGGCGGUUUGACAUCUCCGGAAAUUUCGACAAAAUUUUGUUUUGUCUCUCCCGAAACAUCUUCCGCGUUCUCUACCAUUACUAUAAUUAAACAACACAUAAAUAUGAAUUAACAACUAACUAAUGUAUAAACAUCAAUGCCAUAAUGAAUUAAAACAAAAAAACAAAAAAAAGAAUUUUUUUUUUGAAAAACUGGCAGUAGCUGCCAUUUUUUCGAUGUGAAAAUUUUUCACAAGAGUUCCUCGGCACCUUACUACCGAGGUUUUCCUCGGCACUACACUAUCGACGUUUUCCUCGGCAAUUAACUGCCGAGGAUUCCCAUGACAAGGUUCUAUGUAACUGACGUAGAUACCCAUAAAAUAGCCCAAAAAUCAAUCGAAUAAAAUGCACAAUACCUAUUUUUUACGUCAAAACUGUGUUGAUACCUCCUAUGCUUGAUGCUUGAAUGAUUUUGGAUCAAUAAUUGAUUAAAAAAAAUGGAUUUUGGGAUUGAAUAAUGGAGGUGGAAAUGAAGUUGAUGAAGAAAAUAGUGUGUAGGGGGAGCAGGUGGUUGUUUCAUCUGAUGAAACAUUCUCUCGGCAGUUAACUGCAGCCGGAAUUCAAAUUCCUCGGCAGUUAACUGCCGAGGGGGUAAAAUCGUAUUUUACUAGUGUGUCACAGCCUUAUCAAAUGUGGGAACAACAAUUCUCAUUUGUUUAAGGUGAUGGUGAAAAGAAGGUGAAGAAAGGGAGAAAUAAUUAGGUGUUUUUGACUCACCGUAAGAUAAAAUACACCUGUAUAAUUGAAUGAUCAUCUUUUUAAAAAAACAUAUCAAGGGUUUAAAUUAAAAAUUUUCAUAAGGUCUAUGGUGGACUACUUUUAAGAUUGAUUCACAAUAGACAUUUGGGGGUUAAACUUAACACCAAUGAUUUAUUUGGCAAACAGAAGAAAAGAUGAAGGACUUAAAGGUACGUUUUAUUAAUUUUGGGACCAAAAUGAAAAGUUAAAAUUAAUUAAGGGAUCAUUGGAUCAAAUAAACCUAACAUUAACCAAGAGGAAGAAAUUUCGGAUAACGUAUAACAAAUGAUGUUAAAGUGACGGAUUGCAUUACUAUCCAGUAACAAUAAGAUUAGCAGAAUUAAUAAUAGGAACGUAGUUUUAUAUUUGUUUGUUAUGUUCUGAGUAAUAAUAGAUAAUUUAGUUGUAUAUCCUUACAUAUAAAUAACUUCGUAUUUUUUUUUGUCAAUUGUUUAGUGGUUAAAACUCACACAUUUUUUAUUAAAAAAAAAAAAAAAACUAAGAUAAGAAAAUGGGGUUAAGAUGACCGGUUCCAAUCUACUUUCUAUCAACAAAAAAAUGGGUUUAUGCCCCGCUAAAUAAAAUAACAAUAAUAAAAUAAAUAUAAUAACCAUAUUAAUUAAUAAAUAACAAAGAUAAGAAAUGGGAUUAAGAAAGGAAGGAAGGAAAAAUCCAAAGUGUCUUCUAGGAGCAAAGGUGUCAUGACAUUAUUAUUAGUAUUUUAUGGAACAAUAUUUAGGGUAGCAUGCCUCAUUCUAGUUUAAGAAAAAAUUCAAGGUUCAAUAAAUGCUUGCAUAAAUACUUACAUACUAUUCAUUAAUUAAAUAUAAGUUGCAUUCUUACAAAAUUGCUGACAUGACAUUAUUCUUUAACAAGCAUACAAAGAAAUAUGACAUUAGAGAUAGUGACCCUUUAAGUAAAAAUAUGUACAUCCUCCGAUUAUAAAAAAAUUAAUAUUUUAUAUUCAUUCAUUAAAUUAUGUUUCAUUAAAUUAUGUAUGUGGUUAAUAAUAAAGACUAUAUACAUCAUUUAAUGAAUGAAUCUAAAAUGUUAAUUUUUGCCUAUAAUAAUAAUAUAAUAAUAAUCGGAGGAUGUAUUAUGAAUUUGUCAAUAUGCGUGGUCAGAUCAGAUGCAUAAAAAAUAAAACUUACAUUGUGAAUUCAAUUUCCUAUAUUAAAACUUACAGUGUGAAUCUAAUUUCCUGUAUUAAAACUUAAGGUGUGAAUCUAAUUUUCUAUAUUAAAGUAAAUAGUUGUUACAUGAGGUCCAUUUCUUUUUAUUUGUUUCUUACCAAUCAAUUUCAGUAACCUUUAAACAAAUGUCAUAUUGUUGAAUCGUGAACUUUCUUCACACGUUCAAUGGCUGGUCCAAUUGAGAAAAUAUUAAUGAAUACAUGCUUUGAUAAAUUAUUUAUCAAAAACUGAUUUAUAUACUUUUUAUACACAAGGAAUUGAGUUGGACAAACCCCUUCACUCCGACCUCAUCCCCCAACCUCUCUCACUGCCAAUUUCAAGUGUGUUUAGCUGAGAAAAAGUUAUGUAAUAUUUUGAGGAAAUUCAAAUUCUUUUAAAUAAAUUUUGUUUGUUUGAAUGAUUAAAUUUAGAGAAUUUAUCAUAUUAAUGAAAUUCUAUGAAGUAUUAUGUUAAGUUAAAUUGAGUGAAUUUCAAAUGAUAUCUAAGGUUUAAGAAUUUCAAAUUUCCUACUAGAUAUAUAUUUCAAAAUUUCCAAGUUGGUCCCCAUAUUUUUCAAAAAAAAUAAAUUGACCCUUAAAUAUUUAAAAUAAAUUGCAAAUUGAUCCUUACAAUUUCUUGAAAAUUAUAAAUUGACCACUUUCAAUUUUUGAAAUCUACAAAUCAGCCCUCUAUUUUUCAAUUUUCAAAUUUGGCCCAAAAUUUUAGAAUAUAUAAAAGUAAGUAGCACAAAAAUAUAACUGAAGUAUUUUAUCACUGUAUCCAAACAAAAAUAUUUAAAAAUAAAGGCAUCUAGCGUCGAUCAUCUCACAAGGUGUUGGGAUGAUUUAUACCGCCGCUUUGAAAAUUAGAACUCUAAGACUAAGAAGGAAAAGAUGAAGGGAACUUGCUACAAAUGGUAUUAUUAAUGUGGCUUGGUGGAACUCUUUACCCUUCUUUACUAGGGAUGACUUUUAUAAAGACCGCUAUGAAUUUUUAAAUUAUCGUUCUCCAUAUCUCUUUGUAUUUUAAUUUGGUUUAUGUUUUGGUUUGGUCCUCCUCUGGUACGGUUUUUCAUUUUUUCAAUAAAUUUUUAGAUCAAGCUGACAUAGGAUGUGGUGAUUUUGAAGUGUCAACAUAGUUGAGAUGUCAAACCUUCUUUUUCAUUGUUGGAGCUUAUGACUUCACCUCCAAUUGCUGAAGGCUGUAACUCAUUAUAAUUUUCCUGCCCACCAGAAUAUUGAGCACUGAAUUUUAAUUUACCAAUUUCCCUACCAUCCAGAUCUGACUUAUGUUCUAAGUUAUAUACAGGUAAGACCCCACACCCCUUUAUCCCCUCCGUUGACCACCACAAUUCUUCAUUGACAUCAUGAUCUGAAAUUAAUACAUGAUCUGAAAUUAAUGUCCCAAUAUAAUUGCAAGCAAAAGUAAAACACGUUUCAACUUCUUUGCCGUUUUCAAAGAUGACACAAUGCAGGGGGUGAUUGCAAAUAUGGAAGCCCUUAGAAAGAAUGGUGCAGAAUAUGAAACCAGACAGGUUAUAUUUUGGAAUAGGAGGAAUGGUUAUUGAAGCCUUUAUUGUUUGAAAAUCAAACUUGCGAGGAACUUGUGCUCCUGGCAAGAUAGAGAAAUAAAAAUCAUCAUGUUCAUUUGCAUGAAAAGGGUAUUUAGAGAAGAUUUGUACCAUGUUCUCAAGAAAUGACCGUUGAGUGGAGUCUGUGUCCAGAUAAGUGCAAUUAAUGGCACUCAAAGAUAAUAGGGAUGGCGGAAGCUCUGUUACAGACACAAGUUUCCUGCAAUCAUCUAAAGCUAGACUUUUUAGCAUUGAAUGGUUUUGUAUGUUCUCGGGGAGACAUUCCAUGUUGCAACACUCAUGCAAUGAGAGCCAUUUUAAAGACUGUAUGCCAUCAAGGAUAGACCACAGACUUAAUGCAUUGAUUUCUGUGCACCCUAAAAGGUCUAGCUCGGUAACAGACCCAAGUCCAUGAUCAUUUGUUAACUUAUUCCCAACAAUGUUAAGCUUGUUACACUCGGAUAGGCCAAGCGAAGUAAGUUUUCUGUUACGCCAAAUCGAUGAAGACAAUUCACGUAUAGCAGUGCCACCUAAGGUCAACUCUGUCAUUUCAUCUGAUGUCACCGAAAAUUCUGUGAGAGAUGCACAACCAUCGAGUAAGAGUUCACGAAGAGAUUUUGAAUGAAUGUUGGUUUUAAGGCUUUCAAUCUUUUUGCAGUCUCGUAAAUCUAGAUAUCUAAGAUCAGGGAGAGAAAAGAUGGAAGGAUGGAGCUGACCCAGGCUUUCACAUUGAAAAAGAUAUACUCUAUGAAGAUUUGUAGCCUUAGAUAAGUCUGGGAUCUCAAUCAGAUUUUUGGAGGAUUCAAGCCAAAGUAUGUUUAGAUUCACAAGAUUCUGUAAAAAGAAAUAAAAACACCAUUUAAAUUCAUAAAUAGAGAAACUAAACCUAAUUAAGCAUAAAUAGAGACUUUUUAAGAAUGAGCAUUAGACUUCCUCUCAUACUUCAACAAAUUAACAAGUAUAUCCAAACACAUUUGUACCUGAACUCCAUCCCAUAGCUUUUUAAGCUUGCUAUGACUCAAGUGAAGCUCUAUGAGCAUUUCAGCACAAAAGGUUGAUGGCAAAUACUCAAGACAGUAUCCUUCCCAUCGAAGAUACCUCAAUUUAUCAGAAAUCCACUCAAGACCAUCGGGAAAGUACACAUUGCACGUGUUUCCUCUAGAUUUAUUAUAGAUUUUAAGAUAUCUUAAAUUUGUCAUCCUUCUAAAGGAAUUAGACUUCAAGUAAAGAUCCCCCACAUCUGUACUAUCGAAUGUUAUCCCUUCGACAGCUUUAGUUCCCUGAUAAAAAUUAAAUUAAUAAUUAGGAAUGGUUGUCACGUAUACUUUCCUUGUUAUAUUUCAUAAUCAAAUACAUGUGUUAUUUUCAUGUAGAAGUGCUUGCAUCCUCUACUUACCUUGUUAUUUUUCAAUACAUCAGAAAUACAUCAGAUAUCUCAUCAGCUUUCCACAGUCGACUUCGUUUUCCAGGGUCUUCAGAUUCUUGAUUAACAAUUUCCCGUCCCAUUUCUUGUAACAAAUCAUGCAUUUCUAUAAUACAAACUUCCCAUUUGACAUGCAAAAUUGAACCUAGUUGAAUGAGAGCCUUAUCUAGAAGGACUUCUAUCCCACUUAUUGCAAAGAACUCACAAGCUUCCAAUAGAUCUCUUACAAAAGUUUUAUCUUUUCCAUUCAACAAGCAUGCGAUGUCUAGAAAUAUGGCCUUCUGACAAUGAUCUAAAUCAUCAUAACUCAAUUUUAACACAUCAUAAAUCUUUCGAUUGGGAAUCUUUUGGAGCUUUUUCAGUUCAUUUUCCCAUGCUUCUCGGCCCCUUGAACUGAGAUUUGCACCUAAAACUUUUAAAGCCAGAGGGUUACCUUUGCAAUAGGCAAUUACACUAUCUGAUAGAUCUUCAUAUCCAGUUUUAGGAUGUUUUUCUUUGAAGGCAAUCAAACUGAAUAGCUGAAGAGAAUCAGGCUUCUCUAAUUCCUUAACCUCAUAUAUUUCACAUUUACUCAACUGACUAAAUAUCUGCUUAUCUCUAGUUGUAAUAAUGACCCUACUACCUGGUCCUAGACCAUCAAUUUUUAGGAUAAGAUCUUCUAUUUGUUCUAAGGUUUCUACACCAUCCAAAACAAUUAAAACUUUUUUACGCCCAAUCCUUCUCUCGGAGAAAGGGGCUUCUAUGUAGGAUGCAUCAGGAUGAAUAUUUUCUUCCUCUAACAAUGAAGACAGAAGUUUAUUGUGUAGAACAUUGAGUCCAUACUUGUUUGAUUCAUCCAUUACAUUGAGGACGCAACGACCUUCGAAUUGGGAAAAAUGUUUAGCAUAUAAUGUCUUAGCAAGGGUGGUCUUUCCUAUCCCACCCAUGCCCCAUAUUCCAAGUACUCUGACUUCAUUUGACCCAAUUUUCAGCAUUGAUUCAAUUUGUUCGUAAUUUUUCUCAAUUCCAACAAGCCCCUUAAUUUCAUAUGGGUACCUAAUAUUCAGUUUCCGCAAAACAUCUUCAACAAUGUCUUUAAUGAAGUCUGGUUCACUCCUAACAUAUGAAAGAUGGGAAGAAUGUUUUACAACAAAAGAAAAAUGCAUUCAUAUAUAUGAUUAGGACAUAAUAAAAUUUAUAUUCAACAUGGUGGCAGAGUAGAGCACAUAAAGAAAAUCAAUUACGUAAGACACAGAAGAUAAUUAAUGUCUUAUUUUUUUAGGAAGUGAAAUCCUAAAGAAAAUUCCAAAAAAUUGUAUAGAUUUUAAAAAAAUUGUAUGAUAACUAUGGCCAGGCACAUCAACAUCAUUGUUUACUUUCUAAAGUUAUUAUUAGCUUUCAUUUUCUCAAAUUUAUGUUCAUUUCCAAUCACGAAUAUGGAAAUGAAAAACUUGUGUAGUAAAAAAUUGUGCUAUAUUAGAAAACAAAACUUGCAAAUCAUAGGAUAUAGUUUAUUGAUUUACUUAGGAUAGUUCGUUUUACUUACCUAUAAUUUCGAGAGUCCCAACCAACCAAAUUAGCUGCCUCGGUGAGAGAAUCUUUCCAUUUCUUCAACUUGUCAUUAUUGUGCUUCAAAUCUUGCUUAUGUUUUGCAAAGGCUUGCUUGUAACUCCCGGUCUGCUUCCUCACAUGUGAUGGAUCUAUGUUGUAAAAAACUGGUAUCACAAUCUGUUGCAUAUAUUUCUUGCAUUCAAGAAUCUUUUUGAGCUCAUUCAAGCACCAUUUUGAGGAAGCAUAGUUUUCUGAGAAGAUGACAAUAGAUGCAUGUGACUCCUCAAUGGCUUUGAUGAGUGCUGCCGAGAUCUCAUCUCCUUUUCGAAGCUCAUUGUUGUCUAUAAAUGUUUCAACUUUCUUUCGGCUCAAAGCAUCAUAAAGAUGGCUAGUGAAGUUUCUGCGAGUAUCCUCACCUCGAAAGCUAAGAAAAACGUCAUAUUUUUUCUGAGGCACCACAUCAGAAGAAACUAUAGAGGAAAAGGCACUGCUCAUUUUCGGCACGGCAGUUAUGAAUUCCAAGUGCCUGCACUGAUUAGGCCACUAAUCACAAUGCUACAAUAAAAAAGAAGUAAUGUUUAAUUAGAGAAAGUAGUAGAUAAAUUAAAAUUGAGGGAAAAAAGAUUAUACGUACCAAAGUCAGAAUCCAGCUUCAUGCAAUAGAGGAGAAGAAUACUGUAAAAGUUAUAAUCCAGCUUCCGGAAUUAAUUUUGGAUGAGCACACACAAACUCUUCAUAAUGCUUUGGUUGGUCAUGAUGUAUAUUGUAUAUAGAUGUAAUGUGUGGUUAUCCUUCAAGGAAGUUUCGUUUGCUUAAACAUUGUGUUUGGUAGAGGUGAUUUAUGAGAGAGAAAUAGGUGAGAGAGAGAGAUACAAGAGAAAUGUUGUAUUUCUUCAGUUUGCUAAUAUUAUGUUUUAAAAAAUAAUUUGUUAGUUGUCAUUAACUAUUCUGUUAUCAUUUGAAUAGGAGGAAUAUGACCGACAACUUGCCGAGGCUCUUUCUAAAGGGUUAACUGUUGAUCAUAGUUUGGCCCUCCAAAUUUGGACCAAAGUUGCUGGCGAUAAAACCAAAGGAAAAUUAUAUGGUGCCGGUAACUUGACCGCUAACUACCGGAAGGGUGUUGCAACAACCCUCAGAUUUACCCUUAAUCAUGGCGAAGGAUCCUCCCAGCAGCCUGCACUGACCCCUGAGAUGCAUGACCUUAUUCAAAGAUUGACUCAAGAGCAGCUCACCCAGCAAAUGGCGAGACAUGAGGCCGUUGUACAAGAUUUGCUUAGCCGCCAACGAACAUAUGAGGAGCAACUGGCUCAAUUUCGGCAAGCACAUGAGGAUGGGAAUUCAAGUCAGCAAGCGUCAGUUCCAGAUCCCAAUGUAGAGCCUUUUCCAAUUUAUGGCGAAGGUGGAAGCGAAGGAAGCAAGGAGAUUGAGAGCGAUGAUGAGGAGUGAAGUUGGACCCUUAUGAUGUGUUCAUGCAUGUUAUUUUAUUUUGCUUUUAUUAUCUAUGGUGUGUAAUAUUUGGGAAAGUUUGUUAUGCUUCGUGAUACAAUUGCUACUUAUUUGCUACUUAUGGUCUAUAACAUUAUUCCCUAUGAUUUUAAUUUCAUUACUGUUGGACUUAAUAUUUUGUGGGUGCUAUUACUUUAAUUUUUAUUCUUAACUACUUAUUUUAAAGCAAUUAAAUUAAAAAAACCAUGUGUUUUAAAUUAUUUUAAAUGAUUUUAAAAUAAUGAAAUUAAAAAAAGCAAUUUAAAAUCGUUUUUAAAUUUAUUUUAAUAAUUAAUUUUAAUUAUUUUAAUGAAAUUAACGUUUUUAAAAAACAAUUAAAAACCAUUUUUUAAAAAAAUUAUCUCUGCAAUUUGCCAGGGGUAUACCCCUUGCAAUACUCCUGUCAUAUUUUGGGUCAGACUGCAGCUGAUUGACAGCGCGUAAGUUCUGCAGUGCGUCAGAAAAGCCUGCAGUGCGUCAGGUAAGCAGGUUGUUGAGUCAGACAAUUAGUCAGGGCCCUGCCAGGGGUUUUUCCAGGAGUUAUAAGAGGGGUUUAGACAGGAGUGUGUCCCACGCAGAUUUGCAGCCCUGGCAUAGCAAUUUGCUAUGAGCGCAUUUGCCACUGAUUCAACUCCUCACAAAAGCCCUGGCAAAUGGCUUUUUCCCAGGGAUUCUUGCAAUUUCACAAGGAAUCCACCCCUGGCUAAUUGCAGGAUUUCUUGUAGUGUUCAAUUGUUUUUCUCUGCUAUUCUCCCUUGUUCAUAAUUGUGGUUCAAAGUACCAAAGGGAAUGGAUUAGGUAUGACAAUUUAUCAUUAAAUAUUCCAAUUUAAUAAAUGACACAUGUUGAACAUUAUUUGUUGCAUUACUUAAUAACUCUCGGAUGCCAUGCCUCAAAACACAAAUGAAUCAAAUGAUGGUAGUAUUUGGCAAAUAAUUUAUAAUAAUAUCUAGAACGAAAUUUGUUUCUUUAAUUAAUAAGACCUCCAUUGCUGCAAGUGGCAAAGUACUUGGAUCAAUUCAUUGGUUCAGGUUGUAAGGCAUUUGAUCCUUUUUAGCAAGUGAUCAAAGGUUUGAUCUCUGACUCUUGUAUAUGAAAAAAAGAAUCCAAUUAGAAGUAGAGAACUCAUCUUGUAUAUCUCACGGGUUCUCUGACGCAGAUUAAUCACCGCUAAAAUUCUUGUGUUUCUUAUCAACAUUUUCUCAUAACAAUAAGCAUUUUCCAUCAUGUUAAGUCCUUUUCUAUUUAAAAAUGAUCUGCAAUGCUAGGGAGAAUGAUAGAUGGUAAGAAACAUGGAAGUUCCCAACUUCCAAAAGAUCCUACUGAAAGGCAAUAAAUAAGCCUAUGGGUGCUCAAAUAUUGUUCUGAAUGAAAGCAAGUUGAUUACCAAAUAAACUACCCUCCCCAAGUGGAUAGCAUAGGGGCAAGUUCCCAAAUUCAAAUACAUGAAACUAGGAUUAUGUUAAUGAAUACCGAUGUGAUUACUGCAAAACGAAGAAGAACGACAAGUCAUUUAGUUACAAAGCAGAUGUUUGAAGAAAGAGGAGUUCAAGUACCAAGAAACACAACAGAAAACAACUGCAUAAAUUUAGGAAGUUUUCUGCCAUGGUAAAAGUAACAAGCAACCUAUCAUUGCACAGCUUGAUAUCACCAGUCUACUGCAUCAACACAUACUGUUGAGUGAAUGUAAUGAUGUUGUGCUCAUUUUACUUGGGAAACAGGAGAAAGAGACCAAAAAACAUUUCUGACUUCUAUUAUUCUUUUGAUCGUUUUAACAAGUGCCUCAUCAAAGAACCUGUCCAAUGUUAUUGCAACAAGACGAAUAUUAUUUUCUAGAAUCACAAGAUUUUUGAAACAAUUCUUCAUUUUGAAGAUUUUUCAAUUAAAAAAAAAACUAAUAUGGAAUGUAUAACUAGAGAGUGGGUUUUGAGUUUCAUACCUAUUGAACAAGAAGGUUGUUCUUGGUAUUCUUCAUUAUCAUUGUUAGAGCUUCCGACUUCACCUUCAAUUUUUCUUGGCUGUCAUCAAUAUCAUUUUUCAAAUCAAAAUCAAAUUCACCAGAGUCCUGAGCACUGGAUUUUAAUUUUGAUUUAACUAUUUCCUCACGACUACUACUUAUAACAUACAGCUCCGACUCACUUUUCAAGUCAUAUACAGGUAAGACUCCACACCCCUUUAUCCCCUCUGUUGACCACCACAAUUGUUCCUUUUGACCUUGAAGUAGGAACUGAAAUGAUAGGUUGCAAAAGUCAUGACUUCCAGUUUCUUGUUUGUUGUAACCAUUCCAGCAUAUCAAUACAUGAUCUGAAAUUAAUGUCCCAAGAUAUUUGCAACUAAUACGACAUCUGUCGACUUCUUUGCCAAAGUUGCAUGCAACUUCUACACCUGACAAGAGAGAAAAAUGACGAACACCAUCUUCAUCAGGAGUGUCUUUAGAGAAAGUUCGUACCAUGUUCUCAAGCAAUAACCGUUGAGUGGAGUUCAUAUCCAGAUAAUUGCAGUUAACAGCUGUCAAAUAUAACAGGGAUGCUGGAAGCUCUGCUAGAGACACAAGUUUCCUGCAAUCAUCUAAAUCAAGCCAUUUUAGGAUUGAAUGGUUUUGGAUAUUCUCGGGGAGACUUUCUAAGUUGCAGCACUCAUUCAAUAUUAGCUGUUUUAAAGAUUGUAUGCCAUCAAGGAUGGACCAAAGACUUAAUGCAUUGAUUUCUGUGCACCCUGAAAGGUCUAGCUUUGUAACAGACCACAGUCCAUGAUCAUCUCUUAACUUAUUCCCAACAAUUUUAAGCUUGUUACACUCAGAUAGGCCAAGCCAAGUAAGUUUGCUAUUGCGCCAAAUCGAUGAAGACAAUUCACGUAUAGCAGUGCCGCCUAAGGUCAACUCUGUCAUUUCCUCCGAUGUCACCAAAAAUUCUGUGAGAGUUGAACAACCAUCGAGUAAGAGUUCACGAAGAGAUUUUGAAUGAAUGUUGGUUUUAAGGCUUUCAAUCUUUUUGCAACCUCGUAAAUCUAGAUAUCUAAGAUCAGGGAGACAGAAGAUGGAAGGAUGGAGCUGACACAGGCUUUCACAUUGAAAAACACUCCAUGAAGAUUUGUAUCCUUAGAUAAGUCUGGGAUCUCAAUCAGAUCUUUGGAGGAUUCAAGCCGGAGUAUGUUUAGAUUCACAAGAUUCUGUAACAAUAAAUAAACAUGACAUUGCUUAGAAACCAUUAAAUCCAUAAUUAAGCAUAAAUAGAGACUUCUUAAGAAUGUGCAUCAGACUUCCUCUCAUACCUAAAUAAAUUAACACGUACGUAUAUCCAAACACAUUUGUACCUGAACUCCAUCCCAGAGCUUUUUAAGCUUGCUAUGACCCAUGUGAAGCUCUAUGAGCAUUUCAGCACAAAAGGUUGGUGGCAAAGACUCAAGGCAGUAUCCCUCCCACAUAAGGAACCUCAAUUUAUUAGAAAGCCACUCAAGACCGUCGGGAAAGUGCACAUUGCAUGUUCUCCCAUUAGAUAUAUUAUAGAUUUUAAGAUAUCUUAAGUUUGUCAUCCUUCUAAAGGAAUCAGACUUUAAGUAAAGAUUCCCAACUUCUGUACUAUCAAAUGUUAUACCUUCCACAACUCCCGUUCCCUACCAAACAAAAAUCAGAUUAUUAAUUAGGAAAGGAUGUAAUAAAUGUUUGCUUGUUAUAUUUCAUAACCACAAACAUGUGUUUUCAUAUGGAAGUAAUUGCAUUGUCUACUUACCUUGUUUUUUUUCAAUACAUCAGAUAUUUCUUCAGCAUUCCACAAUCGACUUCGUUUUCCAGGGUUCUUAGAUUCUUGAUUAACAAUCUCUCGUCCCAUUUCUUGUAACAAAUCAUGCAUUUCUAUACCAUCAACGUCCGACUUGACAUAAACAUGCCAUAUUUUUUUUAGUUGUAUGAGAGAUUUAUCUAGAAGGACUUCUAUCCCACUUACUGCAAAGAACUCACAAGCUUCCAAAAGUUUUCUUACGAAAGAUUUACUCUCUUCUCUCAGCAAGCAUGCGUUGUCUAGAAAUAUGGCCUUUUGACAACAAUCUAAGUCAUCAUAACUCAAUUUUAAUACAUUGUAAAUUUUCGUAUUGGGAAUCUUUUGGAGCUUUUUCAAUUCAUUUUCCCAUUCAUCUUUGCCUCUUGAACUCAGAUUAGCACCUAAAACUUUUAAAGCCAGAGGAUUGCCUUUGCAAUAGGCAAUUACACUCUCUGAUAGAUCUUCAUAUCCAAUUUUAGGAUGUUUUUCCUUGAAGACAGUCAAACUGAAUAGCUGAAAAGAAUCAUGAUUAUUCAAUUCCUUAACCUCGUAUAUUUCACAUUUACUGAACUGACUAAUUAUGUGCUUAUCUCUAGUUGUAAUAAUGACCCUACUACCGGGUCCCAGCCCAUCAAUUUUUAGGAUAAAAUCUUCUAUUCUCUCUAAGGUUUCCACGCCAUCCAAUACAAUUAUAACUUUUUUAAGCGCAAUCCUUCUUUCGGAGAAAGGGACUUCUAUGUAGGGUGCAUCAGGAUGAAGAUUUUCUUCCUAUAACAAUGAAGAUAAAAGUUUAUUGUAUACAACAUUGAGUCCAUACUUGUUUGAUUCAUCCAUUACAUUGAGGAAGCAACGACCUUCGAAUUGGGAAUAAAGUUUAGCAUAUAAAGUCUUAGCAAGGGUUGUCUUUCCUAUGCCACCCAUGCCCCAUAUUCCAAGGACUUUAACAUCAUUUGACCCAAUUUUCAGCAUUGAUUCAAUUUGUUUAUAAUUUUUCUCAAUUCCAACAAGACCCUUAAUUUCAUAUGGGUAUCUAAGAUUUAGUUUCCUUAAAACAUCUUCAACAAUGUCCUUAAUGAAGUCCACUUCAAUCCUUGCACAUGAAGGAAGGAAAGGUCUUACAAGUCUAACAAAUACAAUAGAAGAAAAAUACAUCUAUAUGAUUAGUAUACAAAUUUGUAGUCAACAUGGUGGCAUUAACAUCUAUUUUUUCUACGAAGUGAAAUCCUAAAGAAAUUCCAAAAAAUCAAAAAUCAAAAAAAGGUUUUUAUGCUACCCAAACGAUAAGAUGAUGUAUUCUUUGUAUUUAGAUUUAAGAGUAUCAAUUGAGUGAUAAGUGUAUGCAGGGUACAAGAAUAUGUUGACUUUGAAGACUCCUACCCUCUUCCCAAUAGUAAAUAACUGUGCUAUAUUAGAAUACAAAACAUGCAAAUGAUAGGAAAUAGUUUAUUGAUUUUACUUUGAAUUUUGGAAACAUACAAGUGAUGAACAUAUCCAAAGCUGGAUAGUUUGUUUUAUUUACCUAUAAUUUUGAGAGUCCCAUCCAACUAAAUUAGCUGCCUCAGUGAGAGAGGCUUUCCAUUUCUCCAACUUGGCAUUAUUGUGCUUCAAAUCUUGCUUAUGUUUUGCAAAGGCUUGCUUGUAACUCCCGGUUUGCUUCCUCACAUGUGAUGGAUCAAUGUUGUAAAAAAUAGGUAUCACGAUCUGUUCCAUAUAUUGCUUGCAUUCUAGAAUCUUUUUGAGAUCAUUCAAACACCAUUUUGAGGAAGCGUAGUUUUCUGAGAAGAUGACAAUAGACACAUGUGACUCCUCAAUGGUUUUGAUGAGUGUUGGUGAGAUCUCAUCUCCUUUUUGAAGGUCAUUGUUGUCUAUGAAGGUUUCAACUUUCUUUCGACUCAAAGCAUCAUAAAGAUGGCUUGUGAAGUUUCUGCGAGUAUCCUCACCUCGAAAGCUAAGAAAAACGUCAUAUUUUUUCGGAGGCCCCACAUAAGAAGAAGAUAUAGAGGAAAAAGCACUGCUCAUUUUCUGCGCGGCGGUUAUGAUUUCCAAAUGCCUGCACUAAGCCACUAAUCACAAUGCUACAAUAAAAAAAAGUAUUGGGCUUCAUAAAUUUGAUUAUCAUUUGGAAUCAUUUUUGGCAGCAUAACAAAAAGAAUGGCAACAUUCAAAGCGAGCCUAACAAAAAUAAGGCAAAUUCUAUAUUACACCCAAUAUAUUUGAGUGUAUCGGUACAUCCACUCUUUAAAUUAAUAGUUAAAUGAGUUUUUUUUUGAAGAAAAAUAUUAUUUUUUAUCAUUUAUUAUUAUAAUAACUAAAUCUUAUUCAUAAAAAAUAUCAACAAAAUAAAAUUAUUAUUUUUUGAAUUUUUAUUGCUCAUAAUUUAUAACAUUUAUUAUUUUUUACGAUAAUAUGUAAAAAAAAAUACUAUGAUUGUCAUAAACAAUGAAAUGAUUUUUUUUUUUUUUAUGAACUGAUGUUAUAUAAAAUAUAACUAUUGACAAAGAGCUAUUUAUUACAUAAAAAAUUAUCGUUAAUUUAUAAAAUUAUGAAGAAGGAGUACCGGUACACCUCACUUUGUGAGUGUACCGUAGAAGUUUCCCAACAAAAUAAUUACAAUAAUAUAGAUGAAUGUCUUGAGACAAUUUAUUUUUGGCGAUUACUUUCUCCACCCUAUAAGGUUCUCACACGUCCUUUUUUUUUUCUUUCCAAAUUGCCCCUUAGAUUUUAGAAAAUGAAAACCAAUUCCAAAUAUAAAUUCCGAAACAUUUCGCUUUAUAAAAGCAAGAUCAGCAACUUCCACCAUUUUACAGUUUUAGUUUUACAAUUUCACUUUCUCUCUCUCUCUCUCACCGAUCCCAUAAUCCUAAAAUAUUGGUCCAAUCUUUGAGUUUUUUUUGCUCAAAAUCAUCACAUUUGAAGCUUUAUCAAACCCCAUAGUGAAGGUUAGGUCUCAUUCCAUCUGCAUACAAGCCUUUGAGUUCGAAUAUUUUUUUUGUGGCAACUGAAUAUGUUUGGAUUAUAAAAUCCAAACUGGAUUGUUGAAGUUCAGAUUUUAUAAUCUGAAGUGUACCUGUAGGCAGAUUUUUGGACAAUUUUGUGGAUUUAUAUUGAUUGCGUUUUACCUGGUUAUGCAUGUUACAAGCAUGGAUCGUGUUGGGCGCACCGUGGGUGAUGGAGAAGCAAUGCAUGUUUAUGUUUGGAGAGAGCGUUUGGAGAGGUUGCAAGCGGAGGGGAGAGUGCCCAGGCGUGGCAAGGGCAGGGAAAGGGCACGCCGUGGUGAUGCUGAUGGCGAGGGAACAUCUCAGGGGAACUAUAUUGAGCUUGAGCCACAGAGGGAGAUAAGAGAAGGUGGAGGGUGAUGUUGAGCAACAGGAGGAGGGUGAUGAAGAGCAGCAUGAGCGUGUGCAGCCAAAGCCAAAGGAGCUUGAUCACUAUCUUGGUGGCCCACACGACUUGACUGUGCUGACCAAGUACCAUGUUCACGUGGUCAGGAUGGCAGUUGAUGAAGUGGUAAGACACUGCACCUUUAAUUUAAUGAAAAUUGAAUUUUUAUGUUUAAUUAAUAAUAAUUGUAAACUUUUUGUUAAUUUUUGUCAUGUAUUAUUUCGAUUACUGUGAAACUGAUGUUAAUUUUUUGUUUUAAAUUUUAGCAGUGCGGUGACAAUUUAAAAUGUGUAAACAACAGGAAGAAGAUAGAAGCGAUACAUAAACCAAAGGUUUAAAUGUAUUUCAUCCUUGCAAUUAAGGGUCGUUUAAAAAUUGGUCCCUGUAUUCGCUAAUCCUUGCAAACUAGCCUUGCAAUAAUUAAUCAUUUAAAAUUUCGUCCUUUGACCAACUUAAUCACUGCCACGUCACUAAUUUGAUGACGUGGCAAUCACUAUCACACAUGAAAUUCCAAUUUUUCUCUUAAGAAGAGGACAAAAUAUUGAAGAAAGAAUUAGAAACUCAGGGGUAAAAUUGGAAUUUCAUGUGUGACAGUGAUUGGCACGUCAUCAAAUUAGUGAUGUGGCAGUGAUUAAGUGGGGAGAGGGACGAAAUUUUAAAUGAUUAAACAAUGCAAGGGUAAAUUGCAAGGAUUAGCGAUUACAGAGACCAAUUUUUAAACGACCCAUAAUUGCAAGGAUGAAAUACAUAUUUAAGCCUAAACCAAACAAGACUCUGAUGGCAAGACUGUGUGGUUUAAGCAUGGGCUGAAAGUCACUGGUCUUCGGUGGCUGCAGGAUAUCAGCUACAGCCAGAUUGAACACGGGCUUUGUUCUGCAAUUGUGGAGAGAUGGCACGAGGAGACAUCGAACUUUCAUCUUCCGUUUGGGGAUAUGAUAGUGGCACUGGAUGAUGUGUCAUGUUUGCUGCAUCUCGCCAUCGAGGGUAUGCUCUUGUCCUAUGAAAGUAUGUCAAGGGGUGAUGUUGUUGAGUUGUUGAUGGAAUUGUUGAGGGUUGAUGCGGGCGAGACAUGGACCGAGGUGGAAAAGAAAAAAGGUGGACAUGCACGGUUUAACUUCUUGAAGGAUAUAUACUUUCAAGGAGCAUGUUCGGGAGGCACAUGAGGUCUACCAUGCUGGUCAGUUUGUUGAGAUGCAGCAGCGGGAGUAUUUUCCAACAGAAGGUAUGGCCUAAACUAAUUUUAUCAAUUUAUUUAUUUCAAAUUCUAUGAUCAAUUUGAAAAUGACCUAUGUAAUUAGAGAAACUAGCAGUUAAAUUAAAAUUGAGGGAAAAAAGAUCAUACCAAAGUCAGAUCAAUCCAGCUUCAUGCAAUAGAGGAGAAAAAGACAGUAUGGCUUAGCUUCUGGUGGAAUCAAAUUUGGAUGAAAAUUAAUUAAGGAUAAACACACACAAACACUUCAUAAUGCCUUGGUCCUGAUGUAUAUACAUGUAAUGGGUCAAAUUUAAAAUAUAAAAUAACAAGUGUGGCUUAGCUUGCUUCCUUUUUGAUGGAGACUACUAGAUAAACUAUGGAAUUGGAUUUCAGAUUAAAAUAUAUGCAAAAUUAAGCUUGUUGUCCUUCAAUUUUGAGUCAUUUUUCAGAUUAUACCUAUUCACGUAUGUAAACACAAGUUAAUUACAAUAGGUGAGUUGCUGAGUGAAAUGUCUUAGGUGCAAUUCCAAGAACAAUUAGAUUAUACCUAUUAAGCUUGUUGUCCUUUAAUUUUGACUAUUUUUCAGAUUAUACCUUUUAGUUUUUCUUUCUUCCUUGAAUAGUUUCUUCAAAUAUUUAUAAUUACCAACAGAAGGUAGAGCCUUGGACUUAUACAAUAUAUAAGUGGCUUAGAUGUAUUCUUGUCUUUCGUUGGUCUAUGAAAUCGUAAAAACAAACACUUUCGUAUAUUUAAUUAAAUUUAAAGGUAAAGUAAAACAUUAAAUUAAUUUUAAAAUCCCUCCCCUCGUGAACCACAUCAAUUAAUGUUUUUAUUUUUUGUGGAAUUUCUAAAUGUUUUAAUUGAUUAGUUUUUUUUUUAAAGAAUGUUUUGAUUGAUUAGUUGUGUAUGUACAAAGCUGUUUUAGACCGUCGACUCGUUAAUCUUAAACCCUUAACAAAAACUGAUUUAGACCGUCGACUCGCUAAUCAAACCAAGUAAUUAAAUUAAAAAAUUACUUUCUGUUGGAGAAAAGAUACUAUUUGGAAUAUGCAUUGGAAAUAAUGAGUAGCAGAGAGAUUACAAACACUAUAUUAUUUUGUGGGAAAACCAAGAUCUUUGAUCUGUAUCAUUUAAAAAGGAAAGACCAUUAACAGAACCAUUAUUAUUCUUCUUAUCUUUAUUUCUUAUGACUCAAAAUCAUGAAACUCAAGUAGCUACUGCAAUAGGGAGAAAAAGAGGAAGAAGACCGACAAUUCAUUUAAUGACGAAGCAGAAGAUGUUAGAAGAAAGCAGCAUUGCUAUCUUCAAUGAUCAAGAACAUUGACACUGUGAUGUGAUCCUAAAAUUCUCUCUCUUGACAAGAAUAAUAAAGUCAUUGUAGAAUAAAAGAACCAAAUUAAUUUUGGGUUCAAAGUUUUAUUUUCGUAGGUCAUUAUAUGUCUGUCUUGUUUUGGCUAUAUCUGGAGCUCUGGAUAUCCGUUUGAGGUGAUCUUUAACUCGUUGGAAAGCUUACGAAAUUCUCUACAUUUCAUCUGUUUGAUUCAAGAGCAAAUUCGGAAUAUUUAAUGGUGCAGAAUGAGCUGUAGGUAGAAGACGUGGUUAAAGUAUGUUAGCUGAAGAAUUAAAGGUGGUGUUUGUGGAAUUGUAACGUCUAGCCAUAAUAAGCCUUCACAAAUCAAUGUGCAAAUGAAUAUGUAACCUUCUCAUGCAUUGAUCAACCACCAACUUUAAAGAUCCAAUUAAAUUGUAACCUCUUUUGUAAUAACUAGCCACCUAGGAAUUAUAACACUAAUUAUGCUAUGAUUGUAAGUUUUUCAGCUUCCAAGCCUAUUUCCUAUAAAAAGGGGGCGAAAAUAAUGAAGGGGACAAGUUGAAUUUAAAAAAAAUAAAAAAUAAAUAGAGAAUUUUAGGAUCACAUCACACUGCUAAGGAAAAUGAAUGGGGAUCUUUACACAAAAUUAUGAAACGCUGCAAACCUGGUUAUAGCUGACUACUUAUACCAACAAUAAAAACAGGAUCAGAUUGAUUAAUACCAGCAAUCACAGCACAGAACUGCUGAAUAAAAUUAGGAAUACUUCUGCAAAGGUAUAAAUUAUAAAGUUUAAAUAUGCCUUUAGUCCUUGCACUUUUAUCAGAUUUUGGCAUUGGUCCCUACACUUUUUUUUGUUUGGAAUUGGUCCCUGCACUUUGUAAAAAUAUUGGUAUUGGUCCCUGCACUUUGUAAAAAUAUUGAUAUUGGUGCCACGUGGCGUGAAAUGAUUGGGCCACGUGGCACUCCGUUGAUUUUGUGUUUUUUUUUUUAACAGAAAGUUAACAGGGGGUCAAUACCAAUAUUUUUACUAAGUGCAGGGACCAAUGCCAAAAUCUGAUGAAAGUGUAGGGACCAAUGACACAUUUAAACCAAAUUAUAAUUAGCACAACGUAUCAUUGCACUUAGGCAUUUAAAUGAUGAAUUUAAUACCAGUCUACUGCAUCACCGAAUCUUUCUGAAUGAAUGCGAUGAUGUUGUGCUUAUUGUAUUUGAGAAACAGGAGAAAGAGAUUACAAUAUUUCCGACUUGUAUUAUUCUUUUGACCCUCUUAGCAAGUGCCUCAAAAAAAGACCUGCCCAAUAUGUUGUUUCAGCAUAAAGUUAUUGCAAUACACCGAGCAUUAUUCACUUGAAGGAUUAAAAUUUUCUAUUAAAUAAAAAAUAUUGAAUCUAUAAUUAUAAAGUCGGUUAAAACUUCAUACCGAUUGAACAAGAAGGUUGUUCCUCUUUGCAUGAAUAGGAAGGUUGUUCCUGGUUAUCUUCAUUUUCAUUGUUAGAGCUUCUGACUUCACCUCCAAUUGCUAUAGACACAUCAGAGUCUUGAGCAAUGGAUUUUAAUUUACCAAUUUCCUUACUAAUGAUACUGCUACCACCACCUUCCAACUCACGUUCUAAGGCAUAUACAGGUAUGACCCCACACCCUUUUAUCCCCUCUGUUGACCACCACAAUUCUUCAUUGGGACCUUGAAGUAUGAAUUUAAAUGAUAAGUUACAAUCAUAACUUCCACUUUCUUGUAUGUUGUAACCAUGCCAACGCAUCAAUACAUGAUCUGAAAUUAAUGUCCCGAGAUAAUUGAAUCUAAUGCGACGUCUGUCGACUUCUUUUCCGCAUUCAAAGAUAAUACAAUGAAGGACAUGGUGGUUAACAGUGAAGCCCUCAGAAAAAAGGAUGCAAAAUAUGAAACCACACAAGUCAGAUUUAGCAAUAGGAAGAAUAGUUAUUGAAGCCUUGAUUGUCUGAAAAUCAAAAUUUAAUGGAAUUUGUGCUCCUGGCAUGAAAGAGAAAGGACGGAUAACACCUUCAUGUUCAAUAGAAGGGUCUUCACAGAACUUUUGUGCCUUGUUCUUAAUCAAUGAAAAUUGUGUGAAGUAUGUGUCCAGAUAUGUGCAAUUAACGGCUGUUAAAUAAAACAGGGAUGGCGGAAUCUCUGUUAGAGACACAAGUUUCCUGCAAUUGUCUAAUUCAAGCCAUUCUAGCAUUGAAUGGUUUUGUAUGUUCUUAGGGAGACAUUCUAAGUUGCAACACUCAUUCAAUUUUAGCCGUUUUAAAGAUUGUAUGCCAUCAAGGAUGGACGACAGACUUAUUGCAUUGAUUUCUGUGCACCCAGAAAGGUCUAGCUCUGUAACAGACCCCAGUCCAUGAUCAUCUGUUAACUUAUUCCCAACAAUAGUAAGCUUGUUACAUCCAGCUAGGUCAAGAACAGUAAGUUUGGUAUUAUGCCAAAUCGAUGAAGUCAAUUCAUGUAUAGAAGUGUCACGUAAGGAUAAUUUUGUCAUUUCCUCCGAUGUCACUGAAAAUUCUGUGAGAGAUGAACAACCAUUGAGUAAGAGUUGACGAAGAGAUUUUGAAUGAAUGUUUGUUUUAAGGCUUUCAAUACUUAUGCAACCUCUUAAGUCUAGAUAUUGAAGUUGAGGGAGAGAAAAGAUGGAUGGAUGGAGUUGACGCAAGCUUUCACAUUCCGAGAGAAGUACAACAACAAGAUUUGUAGCCCUAGAUAAGUCUGGGAUCUCAAUCAGAUCUUUGGAGGAUCGAAGCCAAAGUGUUCUUAGAUUCACAAGAUUCUGUAACAAGAAAUAAACAUCCAUGAGUGUUGAUUAAAAGAGAAACAAAACCUAGUUAAACAUAAAGAGAAACAUCCUAGCUCUGCUGCAAUUUAGUGAAAAACAUUUGUACCUGAACUCCAUCCCAGAGCUUUUUAAGCUUGCUAUGACUCAUGCAAAGAUAUACAAGCAUUUCAGCACAAAAGGUUGAUGGCAAAGACUCAAGACAGUAUCUUACCCAUAGAAGAUACCUCAAUUUAUCAGAAAUCCACUCAAGACCGUCAGGAAAGUACACAUUGCCUGUGCUCCCAUCAGAAUCAUUACAGAUAUGAAGAUAUCUUAAAUUUGUCAUCCUUCUAAAGGAAUCAGACUUCAAGUAAAUAUCCCCAACAUUUGUACUAUGGAACCUUAUACCUUCCACAACUUCAGUUCCCUGACAAAUAAAAAUUAGAUUAAUAAUUAGGAAAGGCUGUCAUGUGUACUUUCCUCGUUAUAUUUUAUAAUCACAUACAUGUUUUUUCGUAUAGAAAUGAUUGCAUUCUCUAGUUACCUUGUUUUCUUUUAAUAUAUCAGAUAUUUCUUCAGCUCUCCAUAACCGACUUCGUUUUCCAGGAUCUUUAGACUCUUGAUUAACAAUCUCCCGUCCCAUUUCUUGUAACAAAUCAUGCAUAUCUAAACCAUCAGUUUCCAAUUUGGCCAACGAGUGCCAAUUUGAUUUUAUUUGUAUGAAAGCUUUAUCUAGAAGGACUUCUAUCCCACUUUCUGCAAAGAACUCACAAGCUUCCAAGAAAUGUAUCACAAACAUUUUAUUCUCUCCUCUCAACAAGCAUGCGAUAUCUAGAAAUAUGUCCUUUUGAAAAAUAUCUAAGUUAUCAUAACUCAAUUUUAACAUAUUGUUAAUUUCCCCAUUUGGAAUCCUUUCGAGCUUUUUCAAUUCAUCUUCCCAUACUUUUUUGCCUCUUGAACGGAGAUUUUUACCUAAAACUUUUAAAGCCAAAGGGUUGCCUCUGCAAUAGGCAAUUACACUUUCCGAUAGAUCUUCAUAUCCAAUUUUAGGCUGUUUUUCUCCGAAGGCAAACAAACUGAAUAGUUGAAGAGAAUCAUGUUUGUUCAAUUCAUUAAACUCAUAUAUUUCACAAUUACUCAACUGACUUAGUAUGUGCUUAUCUCUAGUUGUAAUAAUGACCCUACUACCCAAUCCCAACCCAUAAAUUAUUAGGAUAAGAUCAUCUAAUUAAUCUAAGGUAUCCAAACCAUCCAACACAAUAAAAACUUUUUUAAGUGCAAUCCUUCUCACGGAGAAAGAGGAUUCUAUGUAGGAUGCAUCGGGAUGAAUUUUUUCUUCCUCUAACAAUGAAGACAAAAGUUUAUUGUGUAGACCAUUGACUCCAUACUUGUUUGAUUCAUCCAUUACAUAGUGGAAGCAAAGAACUUCAAAUUGGGAAUAAAGUUUACCAAAUAAAGUCCUAGCAAUGGUGGUCUUUCCUAUGCCACCCAUGCCCCAUAUUCCAAUGAUUAUAACAUCAUUUGACCCAAUUUCCAUCAUUGAUUCAAUUUGUUCGUAAUUUUUCUCAAUUCCAACAAGCCCAUUAAUAUCAUAUGGGUAUCUAGGAUUCAGUUUCCGCAAAACAUCUUCAACAAUGGCUUUAAUGAAGUCUGAGUCACUCCUAACAUAUGAAAGAGGGGAAGAAGGUUUAACAUGUCUACUAAAUACAAUAAAUAAACAUCUAUAUGAUUAGAAAUAUAUACAAAAUUUAUAGUCAACAUGAUGGUAGUGGCGUAGUAGAGCAAAAAAAGAAGCAAAAAUGAGAUUCGAGGAAAUGAAAUACCAAACACACAGUGCAAUUAAAGUCUAUUUUUUCUAGGAAGUGAAAUCCUAAAGAAAAUUAUAAAAAAAUAAAAGUUUUAUGAUACUCGAAGCAUGUGUUGCUACUAUUAAGAUUUUAGUGAUACAAAUAGAAUCAGCCAAAUCGAAGUAAAAAAAAUUGUGAGAUAGUGUAUGAUGACUUUGAUAGUUUUGAGAAGGUCAUCAACUAUGGCCAGGCACAUCAAUGUCAUUGUUCACUUCUCGAAAUAAUUUGGCCUGGUUUACUUUCUAAAAUUAUAUUUCGUCUUCAAUUUCUAAAAUUUAUGUUCAUUUCCAACUACAAAUAUGGAGAUGAAAGACUUAUGAAGUAAACAAUUGUGCUAUAUUAGAAACAAAACAUUCAAAUGAUAGGAAAUAGUUUAUUGAUUUUACUUACCUAUAAUUUCGAGAGUCCCAACCAACUAAAUUAGCUGCAUCAGUGAGAGCAGCUUUCCAUUUCUCCAACUUAUCGUUAUUGUGCUUCAAAUUUCGCUUAUGUUUUGCAAAGGCUUGCUUGUAACUCCCGGUCUGCUUCCUCACAUGUGAUGGAUCUAUGUUGUAAAAAACUGGUAUCACAAUCUGUUCCAUAUAUUUCUUGCAUUCAAGAAUCUUUUUGAGCUCAUUCAAGCACCAUUUUGAGGAAGCAUAGUUUUCUGAGAAGAUGACAAUAGAUGCAUGUGACUCCUCAAUGGCUUUGAUGAGUGCUGCCGAGAUCUCAUCUCCUUUUUGAAGCUCAUUGUUGUCUAUAAAGGUUUCAACUUUCUUUCGGCUCAGAGCGUCGUAAAGAUGGCUAGUGAAGUUUCUGCGAGUAUCCUCACCUCGAAAGCUAAGAAAAACCUCAUAUUUUUUCUUAGGGACCACAUCAGAAGAAGAUACAGAGGAAAAAGCACUGCUCAUUUUCUCCUCGUGACGGUUAUGAAUUCCCAGGGCCUGUACUAAGCCACUAAUCACAAUGCUACAAUAAAAAAAAAAAGUAAUGUUUAUUGUGUUCUUGAUACUUUUGACCACACUCAUUCUCGUUGUAAUUAGAGAAACUAGUUGUUAAAUUAAAAUUAAGAAGAAAAAAGAUCAUACCAAAGUCAGAAUCAAGCUUCAUGCAAGAAGACUUUAAAGUCAUAAAUCCCAACAGUAGUAUGGCUUAGCUUCUGCUGGAAUCAAUUUUAGAUGAAAAUUAAUUAAGGAUAAACACACACAAACACUUCAUAUAGAUGUAAUGAUUCAAAAUUAAAAUAUAAAAUAGUAAGUGUGGUUUCGUGGUUAUCCUUCAAGGAAGUUUCGUGGUUUUAUUUUCAGUUUUUCUUUCUUCCUUUGAAUAGUUUCUUUAAAUAUUCAAAUGUGUACGUCGUGGUGUUCUUCAGAAGGUAUGGCCAUCACAUUAUUCUUUAUAACAACCAUAUAAAAAAAAAAAUGACAUUAUGAAUUUGUCAUCAUGUGUGGUCAGAUCAGAUGCAUAAUGUGUAAGACGCCGGCUGAAUAAAAUAUGGCAACAAGAGAAUAUUUAGACAAACAAUGAUGCACAUAAUAUAGUGUGAAUCUAAUUUCCUAUAUUAAACUAAAUAGUUGUUACAUAAGGUUCCAUUUCUUUCUAUUUGUUUUUUUACCAAUCAAAUUAAGUAACCUUUAAACAAAUAUCAUAUAUAGUUGAACCGUUGAAUCUUGAACCUUAUUCACAUGUUCAAUGGCUGGUCCAAUCAUUUGUUUAAUGGUUGGUCCAAUUUAGAAAAUAUUAAUGAAGACGGCCUGCUUUGAUAAAUUAUUUAUUUAAAAACUUAUUUAUAUCCUUUUUUACUAACAAGGAAUUGAGACGUAACCAAAAAAAAAACAAGGAAUUGAGAUGGCCCUCUUCCGAUCUCAUCCCAACCCCACCAAUGGCCAACUUUAAAGCUAUGUUUGGAUUGGUAGAGAGUGGUGGAAUGGAAUUGAAUGAAGUGGGAUAGAUUCACAUUCUAUUGUUUGGUUUUGUAAAAAAAGGAAUAGAAUGGAAUGUAGUGUAAUGGAACUCAUUGCAUCCAAUACCACCUAUUUAACCAAUUUUCCAGUUCCUCCCAAUUUGGGGUGUAUGCAAUGAAAAAACAACAAUCUUCCUAGUAAAUACUAUAAAACAACAAUCAUCACCAAUGGUGGAAAUUAAUCAACAAAAAUUGAAAAAGACUUCCAUAAAAAUGAGUGCCUCAAAAGUAACCUUCAAAAGAUUCAAUUGAUAAGCAAUAAUCCAGCUUAACAUUGAGCUUCUCAUACGUAGCAUUCCAAUUUAUUAUGUCUGAAUUACAAGCAAUCAGAAGUUGAGGACAAGCCUAUAGAAGCUCAAAUUUUUCUGAAUAAAACCAUACCCUACACCGAAUUAGGGCUCUAUGAAGCCUCUAAUACUCGAAACAAUCGAAGAAGCAUUGGGGCUCUAAGACUAAGAAGGAGAAGAUGAAAAGAAACUAGCUACAAAAUUAAAACAUAUGUUUUCAUUGAUUAAUUACAUUCCUAAAGAUACAACACACUUAUCCCCUCUGUUGAACACCACAAUUGUUCCUUGUGACCUUGAAGUAGAAAUUGAAAUGAUAAGUUGCAAAAAUCAUAAAUUUCACUAUCUUGUCUGUUGUGAACAUGCCAGCAUACCAGUACAUAAUCAGAAAUGAAUGUCCCAAGAUAACUGUCACUAAUACAACGUAUGUCGGCUUCUUUUCCGUUUUCAAAGAUAAUACAGUGAACGGCAUCAGGGGCGGUUCUAAGGCCCGGCGACCCCCGGCUCCGGGCCAAAUUUUUUGUGUAAAUCCCUAUGAAUUUCUUAUAUAAACCCCUAUAAAUUGGGCAAUUUCUUUACAUUUUUUAUUAUUUGCUUGCAAUUUCUUAUGUACGCCCUAUAAAUGUGUUGCAAAAAAAUUUUCCGCCCAGGCUUUACAAUAUUCCUGGCUCCGCCACUGAACGGCAUGGUGGUAAACAUUAAAGCCCUCAGAAAGAAUGAUGGAAAAUAUAAAACUGCACAAAUCAGAUUUUGGAAUAGGAGGAAUAAUUAUUGAAGCCUCUAUUGUCUGAAAAUCAAACAUGCAUGCAAUGGAGUCUUCAGAGAAGGUUUGUAACAUGUUAUUAAAAAAUGACGGUUGAAUGGAGUAUGUGUCCAGAUAACUGCAAUUAACGGCAGGGAUGGUGGAAGCUCUGUUAGAGACACAAUUUUCCUGCAAUCAUCUAAAUCAAGCCAUUCCCAACAUUGAAUGGUUUUGGAUAUUGUCGGGGAGAACAUCUAAGUUGCAACACUCUUUCAAUUUUAGCCGUUUUAAAGACUAUAUACCAUCGAGGAUGGACCACAGACUUAAUGCAUCGAUUUCUGUGCACCCUGAAAGGUCUAGUUCGGUAACAAACCCAAGCCCAUGAUCAUCUGAUAACUUCUUCCCAACAGUGUUGAGCUUGUUACACUCAGUUAGACCAAGAGAAGUAAGUUUGCAAUUACGCCAAAUCGAUAAAGAUAAUUCACGUAUAGCAGUGCCAUGUAAGGAUAACUCUGUCAUUUCCUCUGAUGUCACCGAAAAUUCCAUGAGGGAUGAACAACCAUCAACUAAGAGAGAUUUUGAAUGAAAAUUGGUUUUUAGGCUAUGACUCAUGCAAAUCUCUACAAGCAUUUCAGCACAAAAGGUUGAUGGCAAAGAUUCAAGACAGUAUCCAUCCCAUCGAAGGUACCUCAAUUUAUCAGAAAUCCACUCAAGACCAUCGGGAAAGUACACAUUGCAUGUGCUCCCAUCAGAUAUAUUAUAGAUUUUAAGAUAUCUUAUAUUUUUCAUCCUUCUAAAGGAAUCAGACUUCAAUAAAGAUCCCCAACAUCUGUACAAUGGAACGUUAUACCUUCCACAGCUUCAGUUCCCUAAUAAAAACAUUUUUUUUUAAUAAUUAGGAAUGGUUCCCUGAUGAACUUUCCUUGUUAUAUUUCCCUGACGCAUUUUUGUUAUAAUUAGGAAUUGCAAACUCUAUUACCUUGUUGUUUUUCAAUAAUUCAGAUAUUUCUUCAGCCCUCCACAAUCUACUUCUUUUCCCAGGGUCUUUAGAUUCUUGAUUAACAAUCUCCCGACCCAUUUCUUGUAACAAAACAUGCAUUUCUAUUGUAUCAACAUCCAGAUUUACAUGCCAAAUAAGUUUUAGUUCUAUGAGAGCUUUAUCUAGAAGGACUUCUAUCCCAAUUGUUGCAAAGAAUCGACAAGCUUCCAAUACAUGUUUUACAAAAUCUUUAUGCUCUUCUCUCAACAAGCAUGCGAUAUCUAGAAAUAUGGCCUUUUGACAACAAUCUAAGUCAUCAUAACUCAAUUUUAACACAUUAAAAAUUUUCCUAUUGGGAAUCUUUUGGAGCAUUUUCAAUUCAUUGUCCCAUGCUUCCUUGCUUCUUGAACUCGGAUUUGCACCUAAAACUUUUAUAGCCAGAGGAUUGCCUUUGCAAUAGGCAAUUACACUCUCUGAUAGAUCUUCAUAUCCAAUUUUAGGAUGUUUUUCUCCGAAGAUAGUCAAACUCAAUAGUUGAAGAGAAUCAUGUUUGUUCAAUUCCUUAACCUCACAUAUUUGCACAUUUUGUGAAUUGACUAAAUAUGUGUUUAUAUCUAGUUGUAAUAAUGACCCCACUACCCGGUGCCAGUCCAUCAAUUUUUAGCAUAAGAUCUUCUAUUUGCUCUACAGUUUCUCUACACUAUCCAGCACAAUGUAAAAUUCUUUACGUGCAAUCCUUCUCACAGAGAAAGGGGUUUCUACGUGCAAUAAUUCUCACUCUGUUUUUUUAUUUUUUUAUUUUUUUUUCUUCUUUCUAAUCCUUUGAAUAUCUCCAGGUUCUUACUUUAUUGAAGGAAAUGUAACAUGAAGAAAAUAUAAGGAAAUGUAACAUGAAGCAAAAUUUGAGGAAAGAAAAGUUAGGCCUCAUCCUCAAGUAGUAGGAAUGUAGUCCAAUUUUGAUGGCAAAUUACACCCUAUUUCCAUUAACUUUUCAUCGGUAAGAACCAUGUCAUGGACGAGUCUUCAGAUAAGCAGAGACUUUGAGGGAGGAAUAUCUUUGCUCCAAAGUAGGAGCAAUGUGUUUUUUAAAAGAAUAAGUAUCUUUUAAAAGCUAAAUUUCCAUCAGAGGUUCUUUUCCAAAUCAAAGAAUCUUCACAGUCUUCAUCAGGAAUAGUUGCAGCACAAGCAAGCUAAUAGUAGGGAACAUCAACAGGACAUCACGAAGAAUGUUCCAGUGAAAAUUGGUGAAAUAGUAUUAGUCAGACACUUUUGAAGGGAAAGUGUUGAUAAAUAUAUUUUUCCUUAUAAAUAUAAAAAUAAAUAUUUGUCACCGAUACAAUAAAAAAAAUACACAAGACAAAUAUUCAUAAAAAAUUGGAUUAUUAUUUUUCAUUGAUAAACAAUCUAUGACACAAGAUAUAAACGGAGAAAUAAUUGUCACUAUUAAGCAGUAGUAAUUGACACAAGAUAUAAAUACUUUCAUGUACUUGAAGCUGCUCAUUCUAACCAAGGAAUUUCACUACUUCAACACCAAUGUUGCUCAGAUUUGUUUGCAAACUCAUGCUUACUUUGCUCAGAACCCUUCUCAACAUCCUCUGACCCCUCCAUGAAGUUACAGAAGCAUCAUAGCUCGAUAUCAAACAGUCUAAUGCAUAAACAGAUAUUGCGAUGAAGUAUUGUGCGAGAAACAAUGAGACAGAAAACGUUUCUGACUAUUAUAAUUCUUUGGACCCUCGAUAAAAUACAGCCGGUCAUUAUUUUCUAGAAUCAUGAGAAUUUUAAAACAAUUCUUCAAUUGAAGGAUUUAAAUCUUUUAAUAAAAUAAGCUAAGGUGGAAGGUAUGAUUGAAAAAGUGGAAAUUAUAUAGUGCUACAAUCAAAAUAAUUAACGGCUACUAACUAGCAUAACCUCUAGGAAUUAGAAAGCUUCUGCCUUGUUUAAAGAUACAAACAUACAAUUACACAGACUUGGGUCUAAUUACUUGGCGCCUGCGUCUAACAGAAGGUUGUUCCUCUACUUUGUAAGAAUAAGAAGGUUGUUCCUGAUCAUCUUCAUUUUCAUUGUUAUAGCUUCUGCCUUCACCUCCAAUUGCUAUAGACACAUAAGAGUCUUGAGCAAUGGAUUUUAACUUACCAAUUUCCUUACUAAUGCUACUACCCCAAUAUUCCCAUACAGGUAAGACCCCACACCCCUUUAUCCCCUCCUUUGACCACCGUAAUUCUUCAUUGGGACCUUGAAGUAUGAAUUGAAAUGAUAAGUUGCAAAUAUCAUAACUUCCAUUUUCUUGUCUGUUGUAACCAUGCCAACAUAUCAAUGCAUGAUCUGAAAUUAAUGUCCCAAAAUAAUUGUGACUAAUGCGACGUCUGUUGACUUCUUUUCCGCGUUCAAAAAUAAUACAAUGAAGGGCAUGGUGGUUAAUAGUGAAGCCCUCAGAAAAAAGGAUGCGAAAUAUGAAACCACAUAAGACAGAUUUUUUAAUAGGAAGAAUAGUUAUUGAAGCCUCGAUUGUCUGAAAAUCAAAAAUUAUUGGAUCUUGUGCUCCUGGCAGGAAAGAGAAAGCAUUUAUCACACCUUCUUCAAUAGAAGGGUCUUCAAAGAUCUUUCGUACCAUGUUUUCAAGCAAUGACCAUUGUGUGGAAUCUGUGUCCAGAUAAGUGCAAUUAACAGCUUUAAAAUAUAACAGGGAUGGCGGAAGCUCUAUCAGAGUCACGAGGUUCCUGCAAUCAUCUAAUUCAAGCCAUUCUAGCAUUGAAUGGUUUUGGAUAUUCUCUGGGAGACUUUCUAAGUUGCAACACUCUUUCAAUUUUAGCUGUUUUAAAGAUUGUAUGCCAUCAAGGAUGGACCACAAACUUAAUGCAUUAAUUUCUGUGCACCCUGAAAGGUCUAGUUCCGUAACAAACCCAAGUCCAUGAUCAUCUGAUAACUUAUUCCCGACAAUGUUAAGCUUGUUACAUCCAGUUAGGUUAAUAACAGUCAUUUUGGUAUUACGCCAAAUUGAUGAAGACAAUUGAUGUAUAUCAGUGCCACAUAAGGAUAACUCUGUCAUUUCCUCCGAUGUCACUGAAAAUUCCAUGAGAGAUGAACAACCAUCAAGUUUAAGGUUUCGGAGAGAAUUUGAAUGAAUAUUGGUUUUAAGGCUUUCGAUCUUUAUGCAACCUCCUAAAUCUAGUACAAUAAGUCGAGGGAGAGAAAAGAUGUAUGGAUGGAGAUGACGCAGGCUUUCACAUUUAUAGAGAUGUACUUUUUCAAGAUUUGUAGCCCUAGAUAAGUUUGGGAUCUCAAUCAGAUCUUUGGAGUAAUUAAGGCUAAAUGUGAUUAGAUUCACAAGAUUCUGUAACAAGAAAUAAACAUGCAUUAGUGUCGAUUAAAAGAGAAACAAAACCUAGUUAAGAAUAAACAGAAGCAUGCCAUACUAACUCUGCUGCAUUUUUGUGAAUGACAUUAGACUUCCUCUUGUACCUCUAUAAAGUUAACAAGUACAUCCAAACAUUUUGUACCUGAACUCCAUCCCAGAGCUUUUUAAGCUUGCUAUGAGUCAUGUGAAGCUCUACAAGCAUUUCAGCACAAAAGUUUGAUGGAAAAGACUCAGGACAAUAUCCCUCCCAUUGAAGGUACCUCAAUUUAUCAGAAAGCCACUCGAGACCAUCAGGAAAAUGUACAUUGCAUAUGCUCCCGUUGGAUAUAUUAUGAAUCUUAAGAUAUCUUAAGUUUGUCAUCCUUCUAAAGGAAUCAGACUUCAAGUAUAGAUCCCCAACUUCCGUACUAUCGAAUAUUAUACCUUCCCCAACUUUAGUUCCCUGACAACGAAAAUUAGAUUAAUAAUUAGGAAAGGCUGUCAUAUGUACUUUCAUUGUUAUAUUUUAUAAUUACAUACAUAUAUUUUCAUAUAUAAGUGAUUGCAUCCUCUGCUUACCUUGUUUUCUUUUAAUAUAUCAGAUAUUUCUUUAGCUCUCCACAACCGACUUCGUUUUCCAGGGUUUAUAGAUUCUUGAUUAACAAUCUCCUGUCCCAUUUCUUGUAACAAAUCAUGUAUAUGUAAACUAUCAACUUCCAACUUGGCAUACGAGUGCCAAUUUGGUUUUACUUGUAUGAGAGCUUUAUCUAAAACGACUUCUAUCCCACUUUCUGCAAAGAACUCACAAGCUUCCAACAAAUCUAUUAUAAAUAUUUUAUGCUCUCCUCUCAAAAAGCAUGCAAUAUCUAAAAAUAUGGCCUGUUGAAAAAAAUCUAAGUCAUCAUAACUGAAUUUUAACACGAUAUAAAUUUUCCUAUUUGGAAUCUUUUCGAGCUUUUUCAAUUCAUUUUCCCAUGCCUCUUUGCCUCUUGAGCGGAGAUUUACCCCUAAAACUUUUAAAGCCAGAGGAUUGCCUUUGCAAUAGGCAAUUACACUUUCUGAUAGAUCUUCAUAUCCAAUUUUAGGCUGUUUUCCUCCGAAGGCAUUCAAACUGAAUAGCUGAAGAGAAUCAUGAUUGUUCAAUUACAUGACCUCAUAUAUCUCACAUUUACUGAACUGACUAAAUAUGUGCUUAUCUCUAGUUGUCAUAAUGACCCUACUACCCGGUCCCAGCCCAUCAAUUUUUAGGAUAAGAUCUUCUAUUUGCUCUAAGGUUUCUAUGCCAUCUAACACAAUUAAAACUUUAAUUUUACGUGAAAUCCUUCUCUUGGAUAAAGUGGCUUCUAUGUAGGAUGCAUCAGGAUGAAUAUUUUCCUCCUCUAACAAUGAGGAUAAAAGUUUAUUGUAUACAACAUUAUGUCCAUACCUGUUUGAUUCAUCCAUUACAUUGAGAAAGCAACAACCUUCAAAUUGAGAAUAAAUUAUAGCAUAUGAAGCCCUAGCAAGAGUGGUCUUUCCUAUGCCACCCAUGCCCCAUAUUCCAAGGACUCUAACAUCAUUUGAGCCAAUUUUCAGUAUUGACUCAAUUUGGUCAUAAUUUUUCUCAACUCCAACAAGCCCCUUAAUUUCACAUGGGUAACUAAGAUUCAGUUUCCGCAAAACAUAUUUAACAAUGUCCUUAAUGAAGUCCGAUUCGAUCCUAGAAUAUGAAAGAGAGGAAGAAGAUUUUACAAGUCUAACAAAUACAAUAGUAGAAAAGUACAUCUAUAUGAUUAGUAUACAAAAUUUAUAGUCAAUAAGGUGACAGUGGCUUAGUAGAGCAAGAAACAAACAAAAAUUAGAUUUGGGGAAACAAAAUACCAAAGACACAAGGUAAUAAAUGUAUAUUUUCUAUGACUUUGGUAGUUUUCAGAAGGUUGUGUCAACUAUUACUUUGGCCUGUUUAUUUUCAAAAAUUAUUUUUAGUGUUUGUUUUCUAAAAUUUAUGUUCAUUUCCAAUUAAGAAAAUGGAGAUGAAAGACUCAUGUAGUAAAUAGCUGUGCUAUAUUAGAAAACAAAACAUGUAAAUGAUAUGAAAUAGUUUAUUUAUUUUACUUCGAAUUUUUUCGUUUUGUUUACCUGUAAUUUUGAGAGUCCCAACCAACUAAACUAGCUGCCUCAGUGAGUGCAUCUUUCCAUUCCUGUAACUUGUCAUUAUUGCUCUUCAAAUCUCGCUUAUGUUUUGCGAAGGCUUGCUUGUAACUCCCAGUCUGCUUCCUCACAUGUGAUGGAUCUAUGUUGUAAAAAACAGGUAUCACAAUCUGUACCAUAUAUUUCUUGCAUUCAAGAAUCUUUUUGAGCUCAUUCAAGCACCAUUUUGAGGAAGCAUAGUUUUCUGAGAAGAUGACAAUAGACACAUGUGACUCCUCAAUGGCUCUGAUGAGUGCUGGCGAUAUCUUAUCUCCUUUUUGAAGCUCAUUGUUGUCUAUAAAGGUUUCAACUUUCUUUCGGCUCAGAGCAUCAUAAAGAUGGCAUGUGAAGUUUCUGCGGGUAUCCUCACCUCGAAAGCUAAGAAAAACGUCAUAUUUUUUCACAGAUGCCACAGAAGAAGAAAAAACACUGUUUGUUUGCUUCCUAGCCAUUAUGAAUUCCAAGCGCUGCGCUAAUCACAAUGCUACACUCAAACAUAAAAAAUAUUUGAUGUUUAAAUUUGUUCUCGGUUACUAUUUGUACUGGCACUCGUGAUAGUGUUACAUAUUGAGAUUUAUAAAUCAGAUUGACAUCAGAUCAGGCAGUUCAAAGUCCACAUAUUGCUCAUAUAUCGACCUAGGUAAUGUGUAUUUUUUGAUCUAGGAAAGCUAUAGAAUAUGGCAAUUCCACGGGCCAGAUUAAUUAUUACUUCACAUUCAUAGGCUAUUUAAGUCUAGUUUUAUGUAUGGACUCCAAUCAUGUUUAACCUUGUUGCUUGAAUUGAAUUCUAGGUUUUAUCAGGGUUUCUCUUCAUUAGCCUUUUAAACAUUGAGUAGUAAUUAACAAAUAUGAAGACUAACUUAGCAUUCAUUCUUCAGAACCAAUUUGAAAGACUAAUUUGAAAUAUUUGCCAAUAUUGAUUUCAAAUUCAAGGAUAAAAUUAUGAAUAAACUACAAUUAGAGAAACUAACUAGUUAAAUUAUAAUUGACGGAAAAUAGAUCAUACCAAAGUCAGAAUCCAGCAAUAAUUGAGGAGGAAAAGAAUGUACAAUGACAGUCACAAUCCCAGCAGGGCAAUUAGCUUCUACCGGAAUCAAUAAAUAGCUUCUACCGGAAUCAAAAGCAGGCCUAACCAAAUAAUUCCAAUAAUUUAGAUGAAUGUCUUUAGACACCAAUUUUUUCAUUUUUAAGUGUUUAGGUACAACAGUUCAUAAUGCUUUGGUCGUGAUUUUAUAUGGAUUGAUCAAAAUUAAAAUAUAAAAUAACAUGUGGAUUUCAUGGUUUCCCUUCAUAGAAGUUUCGAUUCCAAUGCGUAGUCAGAUCAGAUGCAUAAAUGUGCAAGACGCCGGCUGAUUAAAAUAUGGCUACAAGAGGAUAUAUAUUUAGAGAGAAUUCAAAUCCUUCUAAGUAAAUUUUAUUGUUUGGAUGAUUAAUUUAGAGAAUUUUUUAAUUUAAUGAAAUUUUAUAAAGUAUUUUGUUCAAGUUAAAUUGAGUGAAUUUCAAAUGACAAAUAAGAUCUAGGAAUUUCAAAUUUCAAGUAUCAUUGUAACAUACAUUUUACUUUGAAAACCUGGUUACUUUUUCUUAUCUAGUUAAAAUAAAUAAAUUUCAAGUAUUGUAAGUGCUGGGUUGAAAGAGAUGUGGUUUGAUCAUUAUGUAGGAUAAAAAAAAUAAAAAAAUAAAAAAAUAAAAUAAAAAAAUCAUGAAUAAAUGUUACUCACUCCAUCUCAAAAUAUAUAAUUUGCUGAGUUUCUGCCUAAUUUCAAUACAUGAUAAUUAGUCUAACAGAUAACUUAGUCUGCAUGAUGCCAAGUUGAUUUCCAAAUUUGGCAUACGGCAUAAAAUACCUUACCUUCCCCAGUCAGUUUGGCAAAGUGGUAAGUUCUUAUUGGUUGUCAGUGUGAAAGAAAUUUACACCGACAGUGCAUGCCCCUAACUCUAUUGAUAAAUGGUAUUUUACAAUGAUCUGAGUAUAGUUUUGACAGUUGACAUCAUUGGAAUGGGAAAUUUUUAGUUGACAAUGCCAAAUACAGUAAGAACUGUAAACAAUAGAACCAACAUUAUAGACUGUUAUUUUGUGGGAAACACCAAUAUCUUAGACCUGUAUCAUUUAAACAGGAAAACCCAUUUACAGAACCAUUGUUCUUCUUAUGUUUCUUUCAUAUGACUCAACCAUGAAAAUCGAGCAGCUACUGCAGAAAGGGGAAAGAGAAACGGGAAUGAAAAUUCUUUUGGCGGUAAAGCGUAUUAUGCUUGGAGAAAGUGGCGCUUCAACCAUUAUGAUCAAGAACAUGAAACCACAAGGGAAUAGGGAUCCAUACACAAAUUGAUUAAUAUACCAACAAGUUCAGCACAAAAAAACUGAAUAAAAUUAGGAAUAUUUCUGAAAUGGUAUAAGUAACAAGCAACGUAUCACAAGAUUUUACAUGAAAAACAGGAGAAAGAGAUCACAACAUUUCUGACUUGUAUUAUUCUUUUGACCCUCUUAGCAAGUGCCUCAAAAAAAGACCUGUCCAGGAAUCAUGAGAAUUUUAAAACAAUUAUUCAUUUGAAGGAUUAAACUCUUUCUAUAUCAAAAUAAACUAAUAUGGAAUUUAUAAUUAGAAAGUAGAUGAGAAGAUUCAUACCGAUUGAACAGCAAGGAUGUUUCUGGUCAUCUUCAUUUUCAAUGUUGGAGCUUAUGACUUCACCUCCAAUUGCUGAAGGCUGUAACUCAUCAUUAUAAUUUUCCUGGCCAUCUUCAAUUUCAUUGUUAGACCAAUAAGACCUGUCAGAAUAUUGAUUACUGAAUUUUAAUUUACCAAUUUCCCUACCAGCCAGAUCCGACUUAUGUUCUAAGUUAUAUACAGGUAAGAUCCCACACCCUUUGAUCCCCUCCGUUGACCACCCCAAUUCUACGUUAUGUAUGAAUUGAAAUGAUAGUUUACAAUCAUUACUUCCAAAUUUUUCUCUUUUGUAACAAUACCAACAUAACAAUACAUGAUCUGAAAUUAAUCUCACAAUAUAAAGGGCAAAACAAAUAAUACACCUGUCGACUUCUUUGCCGUGUUCUAAGAUGAUACAAUGCAGGGGGUGACUCUGAAAAAGGAAGCCCUCAGAAAGAAUGGUGCAGAAUAUGAAACCAGACAGGUUAUAUUUUGGAAUAGGAGGAAUGGUUAUUGAAGCCUUCAUUGUUUGAAAAUCAAACUUGCAAGGAACUUGUGCUCCUGGCCAGAAAAGGUAAUUGGCAUCUUUAUUUACAUGAAAAGGGUCUUUAGAGAAAAUUUGUACCAUGUUCUCAAGAAAUGACCGUUGAGUGGAGUCUGUAUCCAGAUAAGUGCAAUUAAUGCCACUCAAAGUUAUUAGGGAUGACGGAAGUUCUGUUAGAGACACAAGUUUCCUGCAACCAUCUAAAUCAAGCCAUUUUAGCAUUGAAUGGUUUCGGAUAUUCUCAGGGAGACAUUCCAAGUUGCAACACUCUUGUAAUGUUAGCCCUUUUAAAGAUUGUAUGCCAUCAAGGAUGGACCACAGACUUAAUGCAUUCAUUUCUGUGCACCCUGAAAGGUCUAGUUCUGUAACAGACCCAAGUCCAUGAUCAUCUGAUAACUUAUUCCCAACAAUGUUAAGCUUGUUACACUUGGAUAGGCCAAGCGAAGUAAGUUUUCUAUUACGCCAAAUCGAUGAAGACAAUUCACGUAUAGCAGUGCCACCUAAGGUCAACUCUGUCAUUUCAUCCGAUGUCACUGAAAAUUCUGUGAGAGAAUAACAACCAUCAAGUAAGAGUUCACGAAGAGAUUUUGAAUGAAUGUUGGUUUUAAGGCUUUCAAUCUUUUUGCAACCUCGUAAAUCUAGAUAUCUAAGAUCAGGGAGAGAAAAGAUAGAAGAAUGGAGCUGACCCAGGCUUUCACAUUGAAAAAGAUAUACUCUAUGAAGAUUUGUAGCCUUAGAUAAGUCUGGGAUCUCAAUCAGAUUUUUGGAGGAUUCAAGCCAAAGUAUGUUUAGAUUCACAAGAUUCUGUAACAAGAAAUAAAAACACCAUUUAAAUUCAUAAAUAGAGAAACUAAACCUAAUUAAGCAUAAAUAGAGACUUUUUAAGAAUGAGCAUUAGACUUCCUCUCAUACUUCAAAAAAUUAACAAGUAUAUCCAAACACAUUUGUACCUGAACUCCAUCCCAUAGCUUUUUAAGCUUGCUAUGACUCAAGUGAAGCUCUAUGAGCAUUUCAGCACAAAAGGUUGAUGGCAAAAACUCAAGACAGUAUCCUUCCCAUCGAAGAUACCUCAAUUUAUCAGAAAUCCACUCAAGACCAUCGGGAAAGUACACAUUGCAUGUGUUUCCUCUAGAUAUAUUAUAGAUUUUAAGAUAUCUUAAAUUUUUCAUCCUUCUAAAGGAAUUAGACUUCAAGUAAAGAUCCCCCACAUCUGUACUAUCGAAUGUUAUCCCUUCGACAGCUUCAGUUCCCUGAUAAAAAUUACAUUAAUAAUUAGGAAUGAUUGUCACAUAUACUUUCCUUGUUAUAUUUCAUAAUCACAUAGAUGUGUUAUUUUGAUGUAGAAGGGAAUAGAUCCUCUACUUACUUUGUUAUAUUUUAAUACAUCGGAUAUCUCUUCAGCUUUCCACAGUCGACUUCGUUUUCCAGGAUCUUCAGAUUCUUGAUUAACAAUCUCCCGUCCCAUUUCUUGUAACAAAUCAUGCAUUUCUAUAGUACAAACUUCCCUUUUGACAUGCAAAAUUGAAUCUAGUUGAAUGAGAGCUUUAUCUAGAAGGACGUCUAUCCCACUUAUUGCAAAGAAAUCAGAAGCUUCCAGUAGAUCUCUUACAAAAUCUUUACCCUGUCCACUCAACAAGCAUGCGAUGUCUAGAAAUAUGGCCUUUUGACAACGAUCUAACUCAUCAUAACUCAAUUUUAACACAUUAUGAAUUUUUCGAUUGGGAAUCUUUUGGAGCUUUUUCAAUUCAUUUUCCCACGCUUCUUGGCCCCUUGAACUGAGAUUUGCACCUAAAACUUUUAAUGCCAGAGGGUUACCUUUGCAAUAGGCAAUUACACUUUCUGAUAGAUCUUCAUAUCCAAUUUUAGGUUGUUUUUCUUUGAAGGCAGUCAAACUGAAUAGCUGAAAAGAAUCAUGCUUGUUCAAUUCUUUAAGCUCAUAUAUUUCACAUUUACUCACCUGACUAAAUAUGUGCUUAUCUCUAGUUGUAAUAAUGACCCUACUACCUGGUCCCAGACCAUCAAUUUUUGGGAUAAGAUCAUCUAUUUGCUCUAAGGUUUCUACACCAUCCAACACAAUUAAAACUUUUUUACGCCCAAUCCUUCUCUCGGAGAAAGGGGCUUCUAUGUAGGAUGCAUCAGGAUGAAUAUUUUCUUCCUCUAACAAUGAAGACAAAAGUUUAUUGAGUACAACAUUAAGUCCAUACUUGUUUGAUUCAUCCAUUACAUUGAGUAAGCAACAACCUUCGAAUUGAGAAUACAUUUUAGCAUAUAAAGCCCUAGCAAGGGUGGUCUUUCCUAUGCCACCCAUGCCCCAUAUUCCAAGGACUCUGACUUCAUGUGACCCAAUUUUCAGCUUUGAUUCAAUUUGGUCAUAAUUUUUCUCAAUUCCAACAAGCCCGGCCUUAAUUUCAUAUGGGUAUUUAAGAUUCAGUUUCUGCAAAACAUCUUCAACGAUAUCCUUAAUGAAGCGUGAUUCAGUCCUAGCAUACGAAAGAGGGGAAGAAGGUUUGAUAAGUCUACAAAUACAAUGGAAGGAAAAUACAUCUAUAUGAUUGGUAAAUAAAAUUUAUAGUCGACAUGGUGGCACUGGCAGUUCCUUAGCAGAGCAAGAAAGAAAGAAAAUUAGAUUUGAGGAAAUAAAUACCAAUGAUAGAGAAUGUAAUUAAUGUCUAAAUUUUCUAGGAAGUGAAAUCCUAAUGAAAAUUCGAAAAAAAUAAAUAAAUGUUUUAUGCUAGAAAUAUAACACAACUGUGUGGGAUGGAUAGUGCAGAUUUCAAAAAUUGUGUGUAUGCAGGGUACAAGCAUAUGAUUAUUAAAUAGUUUUCAGAAGGUCAUAUCAACUAUGGCCAGGCACAUAAACAUCAUUGUUCACUUCUCCAAAUAAUUCGGCCUGUUUACUUUCUAAAAUUAAUUUUAGCUUUCAUUUUUUAAAAUCUAUGUUCAUUUCCAACCAUGAAUAAGGAGAUGAAAGACUCAUGUAGUAUAUAAUUGUGCUAUAUUAGAAAACAAAACAUGAAAAUUAUAUAAAAUAGUUUAUUGGUUUUACUUAGAAUUUUGAGAACAUACAAGUCAUGGCAUGUACAAAGCUCGAUAGUUCGUUUUACUUACUCAAAAUUUUGAAAGUCCCAACCGCCUAAACUAGCUGCCUCAGUGAGAGCGGCUUUCCAUUCCUGUAACUUGUCAUUAUUGCUCUUCAAAUCUCGCUUAUGUUUUGCAAAAGCUUGCUCGUAACUCCCGGUCUGGUUCCUCACAUGUGAUGGAUCUAUUUUGUAAAAAACUGGUAUCACAAUGUGUUCCUUAUAUUUCUUGCAUUCAAGAAUCUUCUUGAGCUCAUUCAAGCACCAUUUUGAAGAAGCAUAGUUUUCUGAGAAGAUGACAAUAGAUGCAUGUGACUUCUCAAUGGCUUUGAUGAGUGCUGGCGAGAUCUCAUCUCCUUUUUGAAGCUUAUUGUUGUCUAUAAAGGUUUCAACUUUCUUUCGGCUCAGAGCAUCAUAAAGAUGGCUGGUGAAGUUUCUGCGAGUAUCCUCACCUCGAAAGCUAAGAAAAACGUCAUAUUUUUUCAGAGGCACCACAUCAGAAGAAGAUAUGGAAGAAAAAGCACUGCUCAUUUUCUACCUAGUGAUUAUGAAUUCCAAGUGCCUGCACUAAUCACAAUGCUACACUCAAAAAUAAAAUAAAAAUUUAUGUUUAAAUGUGUUCUUGAUACUUGUCAAUGAUAUUUUUGACAGGUACUCGGUUCAUAUAUCUGAUUGACAUCAGAUCAAGCAGUUCAAGGUUCACAUAUUGCUCAUCUAUGGAUAUAAUAAAUAAACAGCAUUUGUUAUUUCAAGUCGUUUGUGAUUCUUGGAAAUUUGUUUGUCUUAUAUUAAUGGCUUGCUUAUGAUGUGGAAAACCUAUACAGUUAUUUUGAAGAUGAAAAAACUUGAAUAGACAUUAAAAGCUUAAUGACAUGAAAUAGUAAAGAAUCUUAACAUUUUUUUGAAUGACAAAUCCUAGUAGUUAGUUGUUAGAUUAAGUAUUGACUAUUUCGUCCAGGUUUGAACCGAGAGUCUCCAACUUCUUAUCCGUGAGUUCAAAUUUCAAACCAGUUGAGCUACUCAACCUCCCAAAUAAAAAAACUUAACUCAGAUUAAGUGAAGAGCAACCAAAAUAAAACAUAGAAUUCAAUUCAAGCAACAAGGUUAAGCAUCAUUGGAGUCCAUACAUAAAAUUAGUCAUAAAUAACCAGCCUAUGAAUGUAAAGCAAAAACAAAUCUGGCCCAUGUAUGAUACUUUUUUCUCAAGCAGCAUUUUCAGAUACAAAACAGAGUAAUUUCCUAAUCAGUAAAAAUGGGGUACAAAUAAGAAAUAUGAAGACUAAUUAAACAUUCAUAUACAAUUCUUGAAGACCAAUUUAAUCUUAUAAGUUAAAUUAAAAUUGAUGGAAAAAAGAUGAUACCAAAGUCAGAUCCAGCUUAAUGCAAUAGAGGAGAAAAAGACUGUAUGGCUUAGCUUCUGCUGGAAUCAAUUUUGGAUCAAAAUAACAAAUGUGAUUUCACUGUUAUGCAAUCCUAAGUAAAAUGGCUUCAUUGCUCUUUAACAGAUACCAUAAGAUAAAAUAUACUGUAACAUACAGUAACCUUGUUGACUUGGGGGCUUCACUUGGGUUCCAACUACUUUUAAGUUUUAACCAGAAAAAUAAAUACAUGUGUAUUUAAGGCCACAAGAUUAAAUACAAACUUUAUCUUAAAAAUAACUCAUUCAACAUCUAAAAUUUAUAAAAUUGAUUUUUUUUUUAAAAUAGAAUUUAUCACUUGUUUCCUUUUUAGUUUUAUACUAAAUGUUUAGCUCAGUUGAUACAGUGCAUAAUAUAUGCAAAAUCCAGGGUUCGAAUAUUGGACGCCAUCAAAAAGAAAUGUUUUUAAAAAGUUAUUAACAAGAUUUUUUCAUGGUAAAUUCUAUCCACUAAACUACUUGAUAAAAAAAAUAUAAAAAAAAAAAAAAAAGACAGCAUCCAUAUUGACGUUAGUAAAUCUUAUGAUAAUUUAUCGAAAAAAUAAUAAUAAAUAAGAAUUUACAUAGAUAUGUUAUUUCGGCCAUACCCCAGUGAAAGUUGAGAAUAGAUAAAAGGUGUUUGUAUUUGACAUUUUUGUCGAAUAUCUAUACUUUUAAAAAAUUAAAAAAAUACAUGGUUUUUGGAAUAACUUUUUCAUUUCUAAUUAUACCUCUAAGCAAAUCUGUCUAGAAGAAAUAGAAGAAAUAUAUAAUUGAAUCCUGUCAUCUUUUAAUUUUUCUAAUUACAUUUCAUGUAUUCAUGGUUACACACUAAAAUGAUAAAAUUAUCCUUAAAUAAAAUUUAAUUUAAUCUUAAACUCGGUUUAAGUAGGUCAUGUAAACUUAAUUUUAGUAGACAAUGUAAACUGAGUUUAAGUGUAACACUUUAAGUAAGUUAUAUAAACUUAGCUUAAGUAGGUCAUGUAAAAUGAUCAGUUUAAGUGUACAUACUAAAAGUUAAAUUUUGCUUUAACCUCUUCAACCUUGUUUAAUGAUUCUACAUAAUCUUAUUUUAAGUAUGUACUUGUAAACUCAACUUAGGUAGACUAUGUGACUAAAUUUACAUGUACCCACUUAAACUGAAUUUAAGUUAACCUCAACGAUGUUAAUUAACGUUGUUUAUGUUGCACCAUUAAAUAAUCGUGUUGUAAAGUGCAUAACAUAUCAACGUUUGAACAACAAAGAAAAAAAAUCGAAACUCUAGCAUCAAUGAAAAAGAAGAAGAAAUUCAAUUAUUUAUAUGCAAUAGAGUAUGGACGAAAGAUGUUUUGAUUCACUCUUUAAUCUUCUAUAUAGAUUGAUUGACCAUCCAUAAUUGUUUGUGGGGGAAAGCGGGUGAAAUUUUAGAGUGACAAUGAAUGAAAUCAAGGUUUUAAGAAAAUUUAUAUAAAAGAACAAUUUUAAUUUUAUUAUAAAAUUUUAAGUAAAUAUAUGUGUAAUAAGAAAUACAUAGGAUGUAAAAAGAAAAACUCUUGUUAUCAUCAAAACUCAAAGUGGUGUUGUCAAACACAUUUUAUUCCAACAAUAUGUUCGAUAAAACGCAUACAAGUCUGGGAUCAUCCUUGACUUUAUAAUGUUGCGUGCAUUUUACCAACUACUUAUCAACAUUUGUAGUGGCCAUAUAUCAUUGUUUUAAACCUGUUGAUUACACCUAAGCAGCAAUGGAGCUAAUUAAUGGAUUUUUUUGACAAUAAUAGAACCAUAACUACAUGACUGCCUACUUGGAAGCUUGAGAAUGAUGGUGUUUAUACAGUUAAGAAUCCAUACAAGGACAUUAUGAAUCAUGAUAUGGCCCUUUUGCAACAUCGUGUGCCGAGAAAUUGGAAUUAUGUUUGAGUUUAAAGUUGCCACCGUAGCUACCACAAUUGUUUGCCUACUACAAUUCGAUUGCAAUUGAAAGGUGUUUCGUGUACUGAUUUGUGCGCGAUGUGUGAAGACUUUGGUGAAGAUAAUACUUAUUUGUUUUUAUGUGUAGUAAAAGUGUGCUUUGUUGGAAGCACACGAUUUUGGAUUCCUUUGAUGGUAGUCUUCGAUCUUGCUGCAAGUUUCUCGAAAAAUGUGUUUUCUAUUCUAUAACAUCUGGACCAGCAGCAAAAACAAAUCUUUGGUGUGACGCUAUGGAGUAUUUGGAAGAAUAGAAAUAACAAGGUUUGUAACAAUGUUACUGAAACAUCUCAAACUAUUUGUGAACGUGCACGUUCCUUCUCGCUAGCUGGAUGAAUGCCCAAACUAUUCGACACCAUACUUUUCGGCAUUCCAUUACACAGAGCGAUCUACAUAUUGACAUAACCAAGUCCCGACAGGUUCAAAUGCAAUGUAGAUGCUUUCUUUUCUCAUGCUCUGAAUCGAGUCGGGCUAGGUAUGUGUAUUCGAGAUGAUUGUUGAACCAAAAAUCUUUUUGAUGAAUGUUUUAAUAAUAACAAACUUUAUGGAAUAAACACUAAGUUUUAUGAAUGGUGAUCUACUGAUGUUUGCACUUAAGUCUUUUCCGAGAAGUAAACAAGAAAUAAGUCUUUUACAAGUGCAUAGAUAUAUUCAAUGAAAGAAUACCAAAACAAUAGCAUCACAAGCUCAAAGAAGAUAUAGAAAAAAUAUUGUUUGAAUCAAAUGAGUAUUGAUUGAAGAUUCAACAAGAAGAUGUAUUUUAUGAUCAAUUGACUCAUCCUCAUCACCACAUGGUUUUCAACAAAGCAUUAAAAAAUUUGAGGAAUAAAGGGUUAAUAUUUGAAAGACACUUAAUGAACAAGAAACAUUGUGUGGAAUCACUAAGAGGAACUAUGAGAAGAAUUGUAUCAUCAAACAAUUCAAGGUUAAUUGACCAAGAAGAUAUUGUCUUCUUAUAUAGAAGAGAACAUUAUCAACUUUGAUGAAAAGAAGGUUCUCAUGAUGAAGAUGAUUAUUACACUCGAAAUAAUUAGAAUCAACUUUGAAGAGAAACCAACCGAUGAAUAAAUUAUUUAUUAAGUCAUUCAUUAAUUGGAGAACUAUCAAGGAAGACAAAUCAUGAUCAUAUGCAUGAAGAUUCUAUCAUAAAAGACUUAGGAUGAUCCAAGAAUCUUCAAUCAUUUUUCAAGAUAUAAUUUGGGAGAAUAGAAAUCAAUAAAAGGAAUUUUUACUUUGAGAAAGGUUUCUCAUGUUCUUACAAAAGAACAUUAUGGUCAUAAAAAGUGAAGAGAACACCUUCACUUUAUGUUUUUAAAGAUAACACAUAUUUACAUUUAUUAUCUUGUUAUCUACUAAUGUGAGAAUGUUUCAGUGAGAAUGUUCUCAAGAACGUUCUGACCUCGCAAAGAUAACAAAACAUCUUUAACAAAGCAAAUGACAAAAAUCAUCUUUUGAUAAAUGUCAAGAAUGUGCAUAAUCAAAGAUCAAGAAUAAUUGUUAUUCUCUUUGUCUCACCAAAAGAAGGAUCAAUGAUCAUAAAAAUCAAGAUCCUUAAAGGCAUUAAAUGGCAAGAAAUCAAGACAAAUCAAAGCAUUAUGGCACAUGGGCCAUGAUAGCAAAAGAACAAAGAUUAAAUCAUAAUGGCCUUAAAAGAGUGAAAAGAUUCAUUAAAGAAAGGCUUAAAUAUGAUAUUAGUCCCUGUAAUUUGGGUCGGUUUUGAAUUUCGUCCCUGUAAAAAAAAAACUUUGAAUUACAUCCCUGUAAAAAAAAAUUUGUUUGAAAAAGGUCUAUGGCCCCACAUUUUUGAUGAUAUGGCAUGGGUUUUGCCACAUGGCAGUUGCUGACUGUGCAACUUAUGCCACAUGGCGCUGACGUGGCAUGCCACAUAAUAUUAAAUUUAAAAAAAUAAUUUUUAAAUUCUAAAAAUUGUUUUUAAAAUUUAAAAAUAUAAAAAAAAAAUCUGAAAAAAAUUUAAAAAUAUUAAAAUUAUUUUUAUCAUAUAAUUUUCAAAAAAAUUUUUUUUUUUAAAUUAUAAAAUCUGAAAUUUCUGAAAAAAAAAAAUGAAAUGAUUUUUUUUUAAAAUAUGAAGAAAAAAAUAUAAUUUUCAAAUUAAAAAAAAUUAAUGAUCGAAAAUUUAAUUUUAACUGUUUUUUUUCGAUUUUUUAAAUGAUUUUUGAAUUUAUUUUCAUAUUUUUUUAAAUUUUUUAAUUACGUGGCUGCCACGUGGCAAAACCUAUGCCAUAUCAUAAAAAAUGUGGGGCCAGGGACCUUUUUCAAACAAAAAAAAAAUUUACAGGGAUGUUUUUCAAACUUUUAUUUUACAGGGACGAAAAUGAUAUUUAAGCCUUAAAGAAAUAUCUCAAAGUUGUUCCUUGUGGAAAAAGCAUAUGACAUCAUCAUAUAGCAUAAAGAUGACAUAAACACAUCUUAUCAAGUGGCUAGCAAGCUUCUACAACAAUAUUACAGCUGAUAACAACUUGCAAAACGUGUUCCUUCUUUGUACAAGUUUGGCUGGUACAGAGAGAACGUUAUGGAGAACGUUCUGGGUAAGAAAAACCAUCAAAGAAAGAUCUCAAAGUUGUGCCUUAGCAUAUGACAUCAUGCAAUGACAUCAAGCUUGCAUCAUCUUAAGUGGCCUCCAAGGCUUCUACAAUCAGGCAUAUAACUCGUUACAUCUUGCAAAAACGUGUUGCUCUGUGCCCAAGUUAUGGCUGGAAUAGAGAGAACGUUCUCGGUGAACAGUUUCAUGCUUUCUCUCCAAGCAUCAAAUGGAGCCAAUUUAUUUUGAAUUUGAAUUGAGCUCCAAUAGCUCUUUUUUGACUUGUUCUCCAAGGAUACAUCUCCUAUAAAUAGAGGACGUCCAUGAAGGUUAAUAGCAAGAGUUUUGAUAUACAAAAGCUUUGACAUCUCUCUCUCUCUCAAAGCUAAAGAAAUCAUUAUCUUCAUCAAUCUCUUUAACAUCUCUUUCGACAAUCACAAAGCAAACUCCAUAAUCUUUCACUAUAUUUAUCAUCUUUAUCUCUCAUUGAGAACAUCUUUCUGAGUUUGUAUUUGUACAAGGAUAGUUUGUUUGAGACGCUAGAUCCAAACAACAUCUUUCUCAUUUUCGUUUGAGACAUUAGAUCCAAACAAUCAUCUUACAAAGAGAUAACUAGAUCUCAAGUCUAUUGGGCUUAAUAGUUUGAGAUAGGAAGAGUUCCAAGCUUUCUUGUGCAAAAGCAAAGAAUUGUAGAAGCCUGCUGAGGUUGAUAAUACAAGGGUUACAGACUGAUCUGGUGUGAUCAAGACCUUAUAGUGUUGGUUAGAAGUUUCUACCAACUGAAUACUAUAGUGGAUAAUCUCACACGAAAUGUGGGGACUGUGGAAGUAACCGGGAUUGGUGAACCAGGAUAACUCUCCUGUGUUAUUCUUCUUUCUCUCUCCCUCUCUAUCUUUUAUUUUUACACAAUAUGCACACACUAUCACACUCAUUAAUAUUUAUAACUCCUCUCUCCCUCCCUCUCUCCUGUGUUAUUCUUCUUUCUCUCUCCCUCUCUCUAUCUCUAAGAUAUUCUGGUCCUAAUUAAUCACAACCAAAUUAAUCCAGAGUUCUCUGGUCGUUAAAUAACCAUUAAUAUUGUUUUAUCAUUCAGCUUAAUAAUUAAUUAUAACUGCUUUAUAUUUAUCCAGAGUUCUCUCGUCCUUAAUUAACCAUAAGAUUAUUUUAUCAUUCAGUUUAAAUAAUUAAUUAUAUAAUUAUUAUCCAGAACAUUCUGGUCCUUAGUAAAACUGCUUAAUUAUUUAAACCUUACUUUAUCCAAAACAUUCUGGUCCUUGAUAAAACAAUUGUUUAAAUAUCUAAAUAUUUUAUAAUCUUCUUUUAUCUAACAUUUACCAAGAAUUUUCUUGAGUACAUAAACUUGUUAAGUUUCAGGAUUAAAUUUAAAAAGGGUCACAAUUCAAACCCCCCCUUUCUUGUGACUAUUUCUUCCACUUCAAUGAUGAGAGGUUGUUUUGUGUUACCUAAAACCAAAUGGUUGACUCCGGUCCUUGAUGUGGACUUGAAGAGGCUUUAGGUUUAUUAUAAACAUUGUAUUGGGUGCGUGAUCUAUAGCUAGGUAUUGUGGAUUUUGGCCUUGAUUCCAAAAAUGUGGUGGAUAGUCUCUAUGGUAGAAAAAGUAACGUUACUAAUUAUAGUGCAGUUAUAAUUGAUUGUAGACGCAUGUUAGCUUGUGAUUUAGCAAUUGAUGAUGUUAGGUUUAAUCAGAGACAAGCCUACGAAGUCGCUGAUGUUAGUUUCUAUAUUCAUACUAAGAUUACAUCGUGUAUCUCAACUAUUAUGCAAUAAGUUUCUUUAUGUCUAAAAAUAAUAAUUCAUUUUCUACUCAUUGUCCAAGAGUAGCACCUCUUAAGCAACCAUACAUCAACACCACUUCAGCGCCACCGUCAAGGGCACCACCAAACAAUGACUCUACCAUAACUCUUACAUCCUCGCCGUAGUCAAAGUCAUUGAAUCCCACCCCCAUCGUCGAUCUAUGAUUUUCCCCUGGUUCCGUCCUGGCCUCGACCAAAACUACAAUCGCCACCAUAAAAGGUUCUAUCUUCACUCCCGUCAUCGGCACCACCUCCAAAACCACCUAAUUGCAUCUCUAUUUACGGAAUCAUUGACUUUGAGGACAAGGUCAAUUUUGAAGAGCAGAGUAGUGAUAACAUUAACCAAGAGGAAGAAAUUUCGGAUAACGUAUAACAAAUGAUGUUAAAGUGAAGGGAUUGCAUUACUAUCCAGGAACAAUAAGAUUAGCAGAUAAUAAUAGGAAGGUAGUUUUAUAUUUGUUUGUUAUGUUCUGAGUAAUAAUAGAUAAUUUAGUUGUAUAUCCUUAGAUAUUAAUAACUUCGUUUUUUUUUGUCAAAUUGUCUAGUGGUUAAAACUCACAUAUUUUUUAUUAAAAAAAAAAUAACUAACACAUUUUAAAUAUGGACAUAAGUAUUUCGUGAUUAUAUAUUACCGAAACUUCUCUGAAGGACAUAAAUCUAUAUUUCAUUUCUUGAUUGCUUUUCAGAGAAGUUUCGAUAAUAUAUAAUACAAUAACAAUAUUGACUUGGGUUCCAGUCUACUUUCUAUAAAAAAUAAAAAAUAAAAUGGGUUUAUGCCACGUUGUAUAAAAUAACAAUAAUAAAAUAAAUAUAAUAACCAUAUUAAUUAAUAAAAAACAAAGAUAAGAAAUGUGAUUAAGAAAGGAAGGAAGGAAAAAUCCAAAGUGUCUUCUAGGAGCAAAGGUGUCAUGACAUUAUUAUUAGUAUUUUUAUGGAACAAUAUUUAGGGUAGCAUGCCUCAUUCUAGUUAAGAAAAAAUUCAAGGUUCAAUAAAUGCUUGCAUAAAUUCUUACAUACUAUUCAUUAAUUAAAUAUAAGUUGUAUUCUUACUAAAUUGCUGACAUGACAUUAUUCUUUAACAAGCAUACAAAAGAUAUGACAUUAGAGAUAGUGACCCUUUAAGUAAAAAUAUGUACAUCCUCUAGUUAAUAUUAUAAACAAAAAUUAGCAUUUUAUAUUCAUUCAUUAAAUUAUAUAUGUGGUUAAUAAUAAAGACUAUAUACAUUAUUUAAUGAAUGAAUUUGUCAAUAUGCGUGGUCAGAUCAGAUGCAUAAAUGUGUAAGACGCUGGGUGAAUAAAAGAUCUGGAGUACAAAUCCGAACCACCAAAAAAAACUUACAUUGUGAAUUCAAUUUCCUAUAUUAAAACUUACGGUGUGAAUCUAAUUUCCUGUAUUAAAACUUAAGGUGUGAAUCUAAUUUUCUAUAUUAAACUAAAUAGCUGUUAGAUGAGGUCCAUUUCUUUUUAUUUGUUUCUUACCAAUCAAUUUCAGUAACCUUUAAACAAAUGUCAUAUUGUUGAAUCGUGAACUUUCUUCACACGUUCAAUGGCUGGUCCAAUUUAGAAAAUAUUAAUGAAUACAUGCUUUGAUAAAUUAUUUAUCAAAAACUGAUUUAUAUACUUUUUACACACAAGGAAUUGAGUUGGACAAACCCCUUCACUCCGACCUCAUCCCCCAAUCCCUCCCACCGCCAAUUUCAAGUGUGUUUAGCUGAGAAAAAGUUAUGUAAUGUUUUGAAAAAGUUAUAAAGUAUUAUGUUUAAGUUAAAUUGAGUGAAUUUUAAAUGAUAUUUAAGAUCUAAGAAUUUCAAAUUAUUUCCUAUUAGAUAUAUCUUUCAAAAUUUCCAAGUUGGUCCCCAUAUUUUUCAAAAAAAAUAAAUUAACCCUUAAAUAUUUAAAAUAAAUUGCAAAUUGAUCCUUACAAUUUCUUGAAAAUUAUAAACCGCUUUCAAUUUUUGAAUUCUACAAAUCAGCCCUCAAUUUUUCAAUUUUUCAAUUUGGCCCAAAAUUUUAUAAAAUAUAAAAGUAAGUAGCACAAAAAUAUAACUGAAGUAUUUUAUCACUGUAUCCAAACAAAAAUAUUAAAAAAUAAAGGGAUCUAGCGUCGAUCAUCUCACAAGGUGUUGGGAUGAUUUAUACCGCCGCUAUGAAAAUUAGAACUUUAAGUGCUUGUUUGGUGUAACACUCCUAUUUCUAUUAAAGCAAUUAAACAUGCAAAUAAUACAUUUAUUCAAGAAAUAGAGGCUACGCCACAUUCAAAAUUCAAAAACCAAUAAACAUGUAUAUAAACCUCAACAGUUGCAGCGGAAUAUAAAUCAGAGUAAUCCAAAUGUAUACAUGUCAUGAAUAAUAAAUUACAUCACAUAGAUGCAUCUCAAAAAUCCCAAACAAAACGGAUAAUCUCCAACAUAACAAAAUCCAAAAAUAACCUAAUCUAGACCGACACAACAAGCCUAGAUCAGAGCCAACUCAACACCGAUAUCGGAGAAAGCUCCCGAUAUCCCAAGCACAAACUCACCAAGCACUACUCCUGCACAACGUCUACCCAUCCAUACAGAUAGGUAGGCGGUUAAAACCACUAGGGUAAGUAUUACAUUAUCAUAAUCCAAAUAACAGAUAACAUGAGUAUUUCAAUAUAAACAUCAUGCAUUUGAUCAAUAGUAAUCACACAUUAAUACUUACAUCACAUCCCAAUAUCUCACAUCAAUAAUCAUCAAUCACAUAAACAGUUAACAAUUCACAAAUAUUCAUUCACAAUCUCCAAACACAAAUAUUCAUGAAUAGUCAUUAAUCACAUUUCACGAACAAUCACCAAUCACAUUUAUCAAACAAGACUCAUGUCAUGAUAUGCACUUAUUGACACAUAAAUGCAUGUGGUACCAAAUCUCCAAAAGGUCGUCACCUCCGAUGGAACAACUCAACAUCGUAUGUAAGGGUUCACACCCGCCUUACAUAAUCUCCGAAGUAAAAGAGCACAACCUUUUUACAACUACACGACUAUGAUGCAUGGACAUGUAAAAAAACUAGAUAAUGCGACAACAAUCACAAUUUUCUCCACAAUAUAUAGGAAAACACCCAAUUAUAUUGUUCAUCUCCACAUCAUUUGCAUUAUCAAGAAAACAUGCCCAUUCAUAAUUAAAUCAUAGUAUUCAUCAUUACACAUCAACGUGAUUAUCAAUAAUCAACGAUGUCAUUCAAUCAUCAACUAUCACAUAUAGUUUCACAAAUUCAAACAUUCCUUACAUCUUAAGUAAGAUAGCAUACACUUCUCAUGAUAAUUAUCAUAUCCAAAAUACAAUCAUUCAUUCAUACAACUUCACUUAGUCAUAUAAGAAUGAUCACAACAAUUCAUAAGACAAUACGACUUAAAGAUUCACUAGACCCCCUUUUCACAAGGUUAAUUCUUCCAUAAAAACACCCCUAGAUGAUUAGGAUAAAGUCCCUAUACAUAGAAAUAAGUUUGGAAACAAUUGGAUCAAAGAAAAUUGCAUUUUAAAAGUUUCUGGUCAGGCAAAAUCGUAGUCCGAAUUUUCCCCAUCGUAGUACGAUUUUUUUCGAGCUGAAACAACCCAAAAUCUGGUCAAAAUCGUAGCCCGAUGGAUAAAAUUGUAGUCCGAUUUCUGCCUGACAGACAACAUCAGAUUUUCCAAUUUUCACGUUUUCGCGCGUAAAAACCAAACCGUUAAUCCGUUUUCGGUGCCGUUUUCACCUACUUGUUCAUGACACUUAGCCCUAUCUUAAUGUACAGAAAAAUUCAAGUUUCAACAUUCCCAAAUUCAUUUUUCAAAGCCUUACACAACACUCAUUUUCCAAAACGGUUAACAAUUGAAUUUUCACCCGAAUCUCCCGUUUUCUCCCAAAACGACUCGACUAUCACAACUACAACCUAAAAACAGAAAUUCCAUCAAGUUUAACUCAUCCAACCACAUAGACAACUCAGUCAACAACUUUGUAUAUCAAAUUUCACUUUGGUCCUUCACAUGACCAUCUAGCACAACUUCACCAAUACAAACAACUUACUUCAUGAAAUGGAAUACCCAUGUUAUCAUUCAACAACAUCAACAUAUCUACUUUAACAACACCUCAUUUAGACAUGAAUUCAAUCAUAAUUCAAUUACACAAUAUCCCAAUCCAACAAUUGAGCAAAACACAUAAGUAUCCAUUUUCACCAAACCAACAACAACAACUUAUUUCACAACAACAAACUAUGAAUCAUGCAUACCCAAGCCAUGAAUUAGCAUCCAUAACAUCACUUAACAACAACAACAUCUAUUGAUCAUGAAACAUAUCACAAUUCAUCAACAACCAUCCAUAAUUCACCAUUUGAGCAUAAUUUACAAACUACCCAUUUUCAUACAUCAUGAACUUGCAAUUUCAUAAUCAACAAUUCAUUUAACAUCAAAUUAACACAUUCAAACAUAUCUCUACAACAUAAGCAAGAAUUUCAAAGAUUGGGUUCAUGAUAAUCACUUAUUCCCAUAAUCAAUUAUGCAUAGAACAAGAGAAAAAGAAUUAACUAAAUGAUUAUGAUAAAGACUAACCCCCUUACCUUAGAUGAAGAUUAACCCAAACUCUUGCUUCAAUUCAGCUCCUAAGCUUACCCAAAUUGAUUCCUCAAGCUAUUCUCUUCAAAACCCUUGUUCUUCUCUUCACCUCUUUCUCUCUCUACCUCUCUCUCUAGGAAAAUUUUAUGAAGUGAAUGAAAGAUAUUUUUUUUCUAUGACAACCCUAAUGUUAUCUCCCUUAAUGGGCUUAACUUAGUUUCUAGUGGGCUUAACCCAUUUCUAUUCAAACCACAAAUAUUUCUCUUUAACUAAUAACGGUAAAAUAUAACCAACGGUCACUAAACGGUAAAAACUAAUCACUACACUAGUAACUUAGUAAAAUAAGGGUUCUCACUAAAUAUUAAAGAUAAUUCUUACCAAAAUUUCCAUUUUACCCUUACCCGCCAAAUGACCAAAUACCCUUCUAAUACGGUAAUCUAUGUAAAUGCACCCAAUGACAAUUAAAUACACACAAGCACAAAUAAUCACAAACAAACACAUAAUAAAAGUAAUUAAAAUAAAUCUAGCUAAAAAUCGGGCUGUUACAUUUGGCACCACGUUUUUGGGCUCCAAACGUGGUUUAUUUUUGCCAAACGUGGUGUUGCACUUUUACAUGCUGUUUGGAUGACGAAAAAGCAAGUUUCUGAAAAGCGGUUUAUGUCUCCAAAACGCAAUUUUCUUGAAGCUGGAAUUCGGAGCUUCUACGGCAGAUAAAAACCACGUUUAAGCCUUUAAUUUCUCAAGUGGCAGGUACUUACCUAAUUACCCCUAAAUUCAAGCCUUCAAUUUCUCUUUCUCAUAGUUUUCUUCCUUUUCAUUACUUCACAUCACUUUCAAACUUAAAUUUUCUGCUAAUUGUGAAGAUUUUGCAUAUCCAAGAUUUCAAUUAUCUUCAGCUUUUCCCCAAUUUUUUCAGAUUUCAUGGUUAAUCUCAUUACUCAUGGUAGAUGUGUUGUUUGGGUGAAUUUAUUCCUUCAGCUUUUCCCCUAUAUAUGAUGCUUAUGAGCUACUUGUGAGAACCAUUCCAUUGCUCUGCCAAGGCCUGAAGGUAAAUACAUAUUCAUAUUUUUUUUGCUUUGAUUACUUGCUUCAAUAUUGUUAAUUUCUAUUUCUCUUUGCUCUAUUUGUUACAAGUUUUACAUUAAUUUUUCCAUCCUACAUCAAUGCAUUGUAUGUGUUUGAUAAAUAGUCUCAAAGAAAAAAAAAAUUCUUAUAUUGAUAUGUUUAUGUUGAUGAAUUUUCUUGACCUGUAGAAGUGAUUGUUUUGUUAUUAUUGAUGUUUAUCUUUAUUUUUAUUUUUUUUUAUUUUUUUGUGUUUUUAGCAAGGAGUCUAUUGUUUUUGUUUAAGGUACUUGGUGUGUUCAAAGUAAUUGAAUGAACUAACGUAAGAAAAGAAACUUAUAGCUUCAAGCCAUUGUUGUAAUUCUAAUUUUUGUGCCUUUACAAAAAAUUCCAAAGUAACAGAAUUUCUUCUAACACAAAGUAACAGAACUCACUCUUAGCACAAAGUAACAGAACUUCUUCUUGUAUUGUUUUUGUUUUCUGUUAUCAUUUUCAUUUGCACAAAACAAGGAUAUUGGUGUUAGUUUGAUCAAGUUGCUUAUGUAUAGUUUGUUUCAUUUUUUUUUUUGGGUUAAUAUGUCUUUACCCCCUGUAAUUUGGGCGAGUUUCGGUUUACCUCCUGUAAAAAUAAAAGUUUAGAUUCCAACCCUUUAAUAUGAAGAUUCUUCAAAAAACACCCCUAUAAUAUUAAGAUUCUCCACAAAACACCCCUGACCCCAUCCAGACGCUGAUGUGGCACGCCAUUGUGUAAUUAUUUUAAUUUUUUUUAAAACCUGACACAUGUGUAAUGGACGCUGACUGUAUAAUUUUUUUUAUUUUUUUUUAUUUUUUUAAAGGGUACACGUGGCAUUUGUGAUUUUAAAAAAAAAUAAAAAACGAAAACAAUUAUGGAAAAAUUAAUAAAAAUAAAAAAUAUUCUGAAAAAUAAAAAAAAAUAGCGAAAAAAUUAAUUAAAAUAAAAAAUAUGAUUAAACAAAUUCCGGAAAAUUUAAUAAAAUAAAAAAUAAUCUGAAAAUUUUAAUAAAAAUGAAAAAGAAUCUGGUAAAAUGAAAAAUAAUGAAAAAAAUUUGGAAAAAUUUUAAAAAGUUCUAGAAAAUUUUAAAAAAUAAUAAAAAAAUCUGGAAAAAGUUAAAAAUAUGAGAAAAAAAAUUUAUAUUUCUGGAAAAUUCAGGACCUUAAAAUAUUUCAAAAUUCUUGAAUAUAAUAAGAAAAUAUAUUUUAUUUUUAAAAAAAAAAGGUUCAGAUUUUUCUUUCGAAAUUAAUUUUUUUUUUAUUUUUUUAUACAAAAAAUAAAAAUAUUGGAAAAUAUUUCAAUAAUUAGAAAAACAUAACAUUAGAACAUGAAGAAUAGAAUUAAGGGCUUGUUUUUCAAUAGUAUAACAUGACUUAUAUACCGGUGUCAAUCAAAAUUCAUUGUAUCUUGUUAUUCAUCUAGAUUAUAUUUUCGAAUAAAAUAAAAUUCUAGAAAUAAAUUUUCAUAAUCAAAAUAACUAUAUAAUAUUAUAUUUUUCGAUUUUUUUAUAAUUUAAAUUUAAUUCAGAUUUUUUUUUAUAUUUUUUGAAAAUUUUGAUAUAUAUAAAUUUUUUCCAGAAUUUUUUAUUUUUUUUGAACUUUUUCCAGAUUGUUUUGUUUAUUGUCGUGAUUUUUUUCUUAAAUUUUCUAGAUUUUUUAAUUUUUUCAGAUUUUUUUUAUUAAAUUUUCUAUAUUUUUUCAUAAUUGUUUUUUCAUUUUAAUAAUGUUUCUAGAAUUUAUUAUUUUAUUUUUAUUUUAAAAAAAUAUAUACAAAUGCCACGUGUACCCUUUAAAAAUAAUAAUAAUACAGUCGUCACGCUACAUAAUCAGAUAUGCACAGUCAGCAUGCCAUUUCAGCUCGCCACGUCAGCAAUUCUGUACAGUCACAUAGGUCAGGGGCUAAAGUCAAAUAAUCUUAUUUUACAGGGUUGGAAUCUAAUCUUUUUUUUUACAGGGGGUAAACCGAAACUCGCCUAAAUUACAGGGGGUAAAUACAUAUUAACCUUUUUUUUUUUUUUUAUCAUACUUUUGUGUAUAUAGUAAUAUGGACUCACUUAAGAGAAAAGUUUCUGCUAACCCCCCUUCAACUAACAAUGAGGGUCAAAGUUUCAAAGCUAGUUUAAAUAUUAGUUUGCAAUAAUUUUCAAUAUUAUAUUGCACUUGAACUUAUAUUAUCUAUUAUCUAUAUGUAAUAUACUUUAGAGCCUUGCCAUUUUUUAUACAUAUUUAGAAAUCUAUGAUUAUGUAUUAAUAAUUUACGUAUAUUUUAGUUUACAAUUGUGUAAUUUCUCAUUUGUUUUACAUCUUUUUAUGCUUAUAUUAUUUUAUUAAAAAUCACCCAAUUGAUAAAAAAAAAUAAUAUUAAAAAUAACAUAAAUUUAUAUUAUUUUAAAAUUAAUUUUAGAACCAAUAGAAUUCAUGUAUGAUAAGUUGAAAUAAUUUUUUUUUAUGAGAAUGAGUUUUAAAUACAAUUAAAAUGAUAGUUUAGUCAUUAUACAUUCAAAAUCAAUUUUGAUUCAAACUAUCCAAACAACAUCAACCCGCAAGAAUCACUUUUAGUAUCCAAACAUAAAUCAAUUCACAUUCAACUCACUUUUAACCAAAAUCAAUUCUCUCAAACUCAAUUCUAUCAAAAUCAAUUCUCCUCGCCGCCAUACCAAACACACACUAAGAUUAAGAAGGAAAAGAUGAAGGGAACUGGCUACAAAUGGUAUUAUUAAUGUGGCUUGGUGGAACUCUUUACCCUUCUUUACUAGGGAUGACUUUUAUAAAGACCACUAUGGAUUUUUAAAUUAUCGUUCUCCAUAUCUCUUUGUAUUUUAAUUUUGUUUUUUGUUUUGGUUUGGUCCUCCUCUAGUACGGUUUUUCAUUUUUUUAAUAAUUUUUUUUUAGAUCAAGCUGGCAUAGGAUGGGGUGGUUUUGGAGUGUGAACAUAGUUGGAAUGUCAAACCUUCUUUUGAUGUCUUCUUUUGCUCAUGAUUUAGAAGGAAAAAAAAAAUUUAAUUACAAUAUAUUUCUCUAAAUUGAUUGAUUUCUUUCCUAAAGACACAACAGAAUUAAUCAACUAUAAUUGAUUUAUUUUUUUUACUUGGAUGAAAGUGAUUCAUAUGCCAAACAGAGCCUAAGUAAUUAAAAUAACAAAUUAGUUUAAAAAGGUAACUACCUGGAAUACGCAUUAGAAUGAAUCAGUAUUAGAGAGAUUAGAAACACCAGUAUUGAUUUGUGAGAAAACCAAGAUCUUUGAUCUGUAUCAUUUAAAAAGGAAAGACCAUCAACAGAACCAUUAUCAUUCUUCUUGUCUUUCUUCUUUUUUGACACAAAAUCAUGAAACUUGAGUAGCUAUACUGCAAUAGGGAGAAAAAGGAAGAAGAAAGACGAUUCAUUUAGUGAUGAAGCAGAAGAAGUUUGAAGAAAGUGGUAUUGCUAGCUUCAAUGACAUUGCUGAGGAAAAUAAAUAGAGAUCUAUACACAAAAUUAUGAAAGACAAGAAGAUUCAUACCAAUUGAACAGCAAGGAUGUUUCUGGUCAUCUUCAUUUUCAAUGUUGGAGCUUAUGACUUCACCUCCAAUUGAUGUAGGUUGUAACUCAUCAUUAUAAUUUCCCUGGCCAUCUUCACUUUCAUUGUUAGACCAAUCAGACCCCACACCAAUUUCCCAACCAUCCAGAUUCGACUUAUGUUCUAAGUUAUAUACAGGUAAGACCCCACACCCCUUUAUCCCCUCUGUUGACCACCACAAUUCUUCAUUGAAAUCUUGAUGCAUGAAUUGAAAUGAUAGGUUGCAAUCAUUACUUCCAUGUUUCCGUCUGUUGUAAGGAUGCCAACAUAUCAAUACGUGAUCUGAAAUUAAUGUCCCAUUAUAUUCGUAAACAACAAGAAUACACUUGUCGACUUCUUUGCCGUGUUCAAAGAUGACACAAUGCAGGGGGUGAUUGAGAUCAUGGAAGCCCUUAGAAAGAAUGGUGCAGAAUACGAAACCAGACAGGUUAUAUUUUGGAAUCGGAGGAAUGGUUAUUGAAGCCUUCAUUGUUUGAAAAUCAAACUUGCGAGGAACUUGUGCUCCUGGCAAGAAAUAGACAUCAUAAUAGGAACGGUUAUUGACAUCUUUAUUUGCAUGAAAAGGGUCUUUAGAGAAGAUUUGUACUAUGUUCUCAAGAAAUGACCGUUGAGUGGAGUCUGUGUCCAGAUAAGUGCAAUUAAUGGCACUCAAACAUAAUAGGGAUGGCGGAAGCUCUGUUAGAGACACAAGUUUCCUGCAAUCAUCUAAAACUAGCCAUUUUAGCAUUGAAUGGUUUCGUAUGUUCUCAGGGACACAUUCCAAGUUGCAACAAUCUUGCAAUGAGAGCCGUUUCAAAGAUUGUAUGCCAUCAAGGAUGGACCACAGACUUAAUGCAUUGAUUUCUGUGCACCGUGAAAGGUUUAGUUCUAUAACAGACCCAAGUCCAUGAUCAUCUGAUAACUUAUUCCCAACAAUGUUAAGCUUGUUACACUCGGUUAGGGAAAGAGAAGUAAGUUUUCUGUUACGCCAAAUCGAUGAAGACAAUUCACGUAUAGCAGUGCCAUCUAAGGUCAACUCUGUCAUUUCAUCCGAUGUCACUGAGAAUUCUGUGAGAGAAGAACAACCAUCGAGUAAGAGUUCACAAAGAGAUUUUGAAUGAAUGUUGGUUUUAAGGCUUUCAAUCUUUUUGCAACCUCGUAAAUCUAGAUAUCUAAGAUCAGGGAGAGAAAAGAUCGAAGAAUGGAGCUGACCCAGGCUUUCACAUUGAAAAAGAUAUACUCUAUGAAGAUUUGUAGCCUUAGAUAAGUCUGGGAUCUCAAUCAGAUUUUUGGAGGAUUCAAGCCAAAGUAUGUUUAGAUUCACAAGAUUCUGUAACAAGAAAUAAAAACACCAUUGAGAAACCGUUAAAUUCAUAAUCACGUGUGAGUGUUGAUUAAAAGAGAAACUAAACCUAAUUAAGCAUAAAUAGAGACUUUUUAAGAAUGAGCAUUAGACUUCCUCUCAUACUUCGACAAAUUAACAAGUAUAUCCAAACAGAAUUGUACCUGAACUCCAUCCCAUAGCUUUUUAAGCUUGCUAUGACUCAAGUGAAGCUCUAUGAGCAUUUCAGCACAAAAGGUUGAUGGCAAAUACUCAAGACAGUAUCCUUCCCAUCGAAGAUACCUCAAUUUAUCAGAAAUCCACUCAAGACCAUCGAGAAAGUACACAUUGGAUGUGCUUCUUCUAGAUUUAUUAUAGAUUUUAAGAUAUCUUAAAUUUGUCAUCCAUCUAAAGGAAUUAGACUUCAAGUAAAGAUCCCCCACAUCUGUACUAUCGAAUGUUAUCCCUUCGACAGCUUUAGUUCCCUGAUAAAAGUUAAAUUAAUAAUUAGGAAUGAUUGUCACAUAUACUUUCCUUGUUAUAUUUCAUAAUCAAAUACAUGUGUUAUUUUCAUGUAGAAGUGAUUGCAUCCUCUACUUACCUUGUUAUUUUUCAAUACAUCAAAUAUCUCUUCAGCUUUCCACAGUCGACUUCGUUUUCCAGGAUCUUCAGAUUCUUGAUUAACAAUCUCCCGUCCCAUUUCUUGUAACAAAUCAUGCAUUUCUAUAGUACAAACUUCCCUUUUGACAUGCAAAAUUGAAUCUAGUUGAAUGAGAGCUUUAUCUAGAAGGACGUCUAUCCCACUUAUUGCAAAGAACUCAGAAGCUUCCAAUAGAUCUCUAACAAAAUCUUUACCCUGUCCACUCAACAAGCAUGCGAUGUCUAGAAAUAUGGCCUUUUGACAACGAUCUAAGUCAGCAUAACUAAAUUUUAACACAUUAUAAAUCUUUUGAUUGGGAAUCUUUUGGAGCUUUUUCAGUUCAUUUUCCCAUGCUUCUCGGCCCCUUGAACUGAGAUUUGCACCUAAAACUUUUAAAGCCAGAGGGUUACCUUUGCAAUAGGCAAUUACACUAUCUGAUACAUCUUCAUAUCCAGUUUUAGGAUGUUUUUCUUUGAAGGCAGUCAAACUGAAUAGCUGAAGAGAAUCAGGCUUCUCUAAUUCCUUAACCUCAUAUAUUUCACAUUUACUCAACUGACUAAAUAUGUGCUUAUCUCUAGUUGUAAUAAUGACCCUACUACCUGGUCCCAGACCAUCAAUUUUUGGGAUAAGAUCUUCUAUUUGCUCUAAGGUUUCUACACCAUCCAACACAAUUAAAACUUUUUUACGACCAAUCCUUCUCUCGGAGAAAGGGGCUUCUAUGUAGGAUGCAUCAGGAUGAAUAUUUUCUUCCUCUAACAAUGAAGACAAAAGUUUAUUGAGUACAACAUUAAGUCCAUACUUGUUUGAUUCAUCCAUUACAUUGAGUAAGCAACAACCUUCGAAUUGAGAAUACAUUUUAGCAUAUAAAGCCCUAGCAAGGGUGGUCUUUCCUAUGCCACCCAUGCCCCAUAUUCCAAGGACUCUGACUUCAUGUGACCCAAUUUUCAGCAUUGAUUCAAUUUGUUUAUAAUUCUUCUCAAUUCCAACAAGACCCUUAAUUUCAUAUGGGUAUCUAAGAUUCAGUUUCCGCAAAACAUCUUCAACAAUGUCCUUAAUGAAAUCUGGUUCACUCCUAACAUAGGAAAGAGGGCGAAGAAUGUUUUACAACAGAAGAAAAUACAUCUAUGUGAUUAGUGCAUAACAAAAUUUAUGGUAAACAUGGAGGCAGAGUAGAGCACAUAAAGAAAAUCAAUUACGUAAGACACAGAAGAUAAUUAAUGUCUUAUUUUUUUAGGAAGUGAAAUCCUAAAGAAAAUUUCAAAAAAUUUUAUAGAUUUUAAAAAAUUGUAUGAUAACUAUGGGCAGGCACAUCAGCAUCAUUGUUUACUUUCUAAAGUUAUUAUUAGCUUUCAUUUUCUCAAAUUUAUGUUCAUUUCCAAUCACGAAUAUGGAGAUGAAAAACUUGUGUUGUAAAAAAUUGUGCUAUAUUAGAAAACAAAACUUGCAAAUCAUAGGAUAUAGUUUAUUGAUUUACUUAGGAUAGUUCGUUUUACUUACCUGUAAUUUCGAGAGUCCCAACCAACCAAAUUAGCUGCCUCGGUGAGAGAAUCUUUCCAUUUCUUCAACUUGUCAUUAUUGUGCUUCAAAUCUCGCUUAUGUUUUGCAAAGGCUUGCUUGUAACUCCCGGUCUGCUUCCUCACAUGUGAUGGAUCUAUGUUGUAAAAAACUGGUAUCACAAUCUGCUCCAUAUAUUUCUUACAUUCAAGAAUCUUUUUGAGCUCAUUCAAGCACCAUUUUGACGAAGCAUAGUUUUCUGAGAAGAUGACAAUAGAUGCAUGUGACUCCUCAAUGGCUUUGAUGAGUGCUGCCGAGAUCUCAUCUCCUUUUUGAAGCUCAUUGUUGUCUAUAAAGGUUUCAACUUUCUUUCGGCUCAGAGCGUCGUAAAGAUGGCUAGUGAAGUUUCUGCGAGUAUCCUCACCUCGAAAGCUAAGAAAAAUGUCAUAUUUU